Xyrichtys novacula (pearly razorfish) is the source of this 84889-nucleotide non-coding RNA. The record is from the annotation of a GenBank genome assembly. NCBI's taxonomy places the organism in Eukaryota, Metazoa, Chordata, Actinopteri, Labriformes, Labridae.
CCCCCCCCCCCCCCCCCCCGUGCUGCCUCCCCGUCCCAUUUGUGUCCUCUGGCCAUCGCCCUCUCUGGUAACGCCCAUCACUGCAAAGACCCUUUUCCUUCAUCGGCGUUUGCUGUUCUUCCUGCCAGUGCGUGUUGCUUUCACUUACACUUGCCACAGCCAGCCUCGUGAGUGCCUAGCCUAUUGGAUAUCACUGUCACCUACACAGGACAGUCAUUACCUUUCUAUUAAUACUUUGUGUUUUAAUUUCACAUUAAUUUCCAUAUUGUAUAAACGACUGGAAAAAACUUGAGCCCCUGCCCCUGUAUAAUCAUGUGCAUGUCUCUGUUCUAGCUCCAAGGUGAAUCUUCACUGCUCAUGUUCUCCUCAGAAGCACUCACCUCACUCCCCUCAGGUUACUGUACACAUGCACCAACUGCCUGCUUCAGGUUUGGAUGGAGCUUCAUGGUUGUCUUUUGGAGAAAUGACCAGUCAAGUUGUGUUUGAAAUUUGAUUUUUUUCAGGGGCAAAAGGAGCCUCUGCAUUCUUGUCAAAUAUGUAAAUAGCAUGUUUUUGCAGGUGCUAAAAACCAGACUCUGAGUGUGUGUGUGUGUCUGUGUGUGUGUGUGUGUGUGUGUGCGUGUGUGUGUGUCUGUGUGUGCGUUCAAGUCACAUGACAUAUUUAACCGGAUGUAGCUGCAAGACGGAGCCUCGUUGACUCUCCGUUUCAACUUAUCUCAAAAGUGAGGACCUCAACCUAUAUACCAGUUUUUAAAUUGUGUUGAUAGGCCAAAUAAAACCAGAGUUAUGAUAAAUUAUGUCCGCGAUACUUUUUUUCUGCUUAUUUUGAUCACGUUCGGCGCUUGAUCGCGCUGUAUGAGACAGGAAAACAUAGCAUGCAGACAUUAGCGACAGGUCUUACAGGCGGAAAAGGCUUGCCAAAAGAAAAAAAAAAACACACCACAACAUCUCUCCUAUUGGUGGAAAACUUCACCACAACAACCAAUCCAAAAUUAUAUGGUGACUGAUUGACAAGGGGCGGGUGCUUACGUUCUUCCUGCAACAUGAGAAGGGAGGGAGGGACUCUCAGCAGGGAUGCAGUCUGGGACACGUAGUUGCAAACCUAGCGACUUUGUUGUUAGAUUCAAUGACUUUUCAGACCCCCUAACGACUUUUUUUUAGAAAGAAAGGGACUUUUAUCUACUUCUUCUGGAGUUUAGAGACUCUGACAUGAAGCAGGCUUUCCUUACUGAGGAGUUAGCAACGCUGCUAAGGGUGCAGAGCCACACAUGCGCUCAGAGCUCUGCAUGGGAGACUGAAGCUGACAGAGCUGCAGCAGUUAGCAGGUUUCACCCUCAGAGACCACCAGUGGUUCAUGUUGAGGCAUUUUUAUUUUUAUUUUUUUUUGUGCCAUAGACACUGUCAGCACAAUCUGCAGUUACACUAACAAAAAUGCUGCAAAAAACAAAGAAUUGUGGAAAAAUUACACAUGGACUGACAUAGAGGAGGAUCUACACAAGUAUUUUACAUCAUGUUUUACAUCAUGCAUCAUUUACAUCAUGUUUUUUUGUAGUGGCAUAAAUAAAAAAGUGACAUUUGUGAGACUAUACAGUGUUUUGUAAAUAAUUUUACAAAGAAAGCCUGGGCCAUUGCCUGCAUUUUGAUGUAAAUAGAGGUAAAUCACUAUGUUCUUUGUUAAAAAUGUGCAUAUGUUUUGAAGUUUACAAUUUUUAUUUGAAGUUUAAGUUUUAAAAACAGUUCAUCACACAUAUUUGUGGUUUAAUUUCACAUUAAUUUCCAUAUUGUAUAAAUGACUGGAAAAAACUUGAGCCCCUGCCCCUGUAUAAUCAUGUGCACGUCCCUGUUCUAGCUCCAAGGUGAAUCUUCACUGCUCAUGUUCUCCUCAGAAAUAGUCACCUCACUCCCCUCAGGUUACUGUACACAUGCACCAACUAUCUGCUUCAGGUUUGAAAUGGAGCUUCAUGGUUGUCUUUUGGAGAAAUGAACAGUCAAGUUGUGUUUGAAAUUUGAUUUUUUUCAGGGGCAAAAGGAGCCUCUGCAUUCUUGUCAAAUAUGUAAACAGCAUGUUUUUGCAGGUGCUAAAAAACAGACUCUGAGUGUGUGUGUGUGUCUGUGUGUGUGUGUGUGUGUGUGUGUGUGUAUGUUGGCGUGUGUGUAUAUGUGUGUGUAUCCUGCAGUACUCUGUACUCCUGCAGUGGCCAAAAAGACUUUUAAGAAUGUGGAUUUUUGGGUCAUCUUUGGCGCCCCCUAGAACUGCAGUACUCUGUACUCCUGCAGUGGCCAAAAUGACUUUUAAGAAUGUGGAUUUUUGGGUCAUCUUUGGCGCCCCCUAGAACGUAAACCGUGGGGUGCAGCGUCAUGAUUUUUACAACUUUGAAUGGGCAUGGGGUGUAGAUUGCCCUGAGCAAAUUUGGUAUCGGUGGGACGAAAGCCUUAGGAGGAGAUAGCCACAUUCCAAUGUGUGCGAAUCGGCAAAAAAUGCAAAAUAGCCCUUUUACCGUACAUUAUACAGAUACGCGCUCUUUGACUUUUUCGUAGAUCUAAUUGAGAUACACAUGAUUGUCAAUUUUUGUGUCAAUAUGACAAAGCGUACAGGCGUGACAGUCAACAAUGUGUAUUUUCAUGUAAGGGGACAAGAAAAAAUUGACUUUUUUCUCCUACCAUGGGGGGGCGCUCUCUUGGGGAGUAAAAAUUCCUUCACAAAUGUGUUGAUGGCUGGACAUUGCAUCAUCCUAGAAAACUUGGAGGCCAGUGAGGACAAAAAUAAAAAGUUAUGAAACAUUUAAGAAUGUGGAUUUUUGGGUUAUUUUUGGCGCCCCCUAGAACCUCAACCAUGGGGUGCAGCAUCAUGAUUUGAAUAACUUUUAAUGGCCAUGGGGUGUAGAUUGGCUUGAGCAAAUGUGGUGCCGGUGGAACGAAAGCCUUCGGAGGAGUUAGCGAAAUUCCAAUGUGUGCGUGUCAGCAAAUAAUGCGGAAUAACCCUUUAACUGUACAUUUGACAGAUACGCGCGCUGGACUUUUUUGUAGAUCUUAUUGAGUUACAUGUGUGUGUCAAUUUUUGUGUCAUUUUGACAAAGCGUAUAGGCGUGACACUCAACAAUGUGUAUUUUCACCUUAGGGGACAAGAAAAAAUUGACUUUUUUCUCCUGCCAUGGGGGGGCGCUCUUUUGGGGAGUAAAAAUUCCUUCACAAAUGUGUUGAUGGCUGGACAUUGCAUCAUCCUAGAAAACUUGGAGGCCAGUGAGGACAAAAAUAAAAAGUUAUGAAACAUUUAAGAAUGUGGAUUUUAGGGUUAUCUUUGGCGCCCCCUAGAACCUAAACCUUGGGGUGCAGCGUCAUGAUUUUGAUAACUUUUAAUGGCCACGGGGUGUAGAUUGGCCUGAGCAAAUGUGGUGCCGGUGGAACGAAAGCCUUCGGAGGAGUUAGCGAAAUUCCAAUGUGUGCGGAUCGGCAAAAAAUGCGUAAUAACCCUUUAACCGUACAUUUGACAGAUACGCCCGCACUGACUUUUUUGUAGAUCUUAUUGAGAUACAUGUGUGUGUCAAUUUUUGUGUCAUUUUGACAAAGCGUACAGUCGUGACAGUGAAUAGUGUGAAUUUUCACCUUAGGGGGCGCUAUGGAGCCAUUUUGCAUUUUAUUGUUUUGGCGACUUCAGAAUAUCAAAUUUUUCACCAGGCCCGGUCGUCCUGCCAAAUUUCAAGAGUUUUCGCCAGUGGGAAGUGGGCCAUUUUCCAGUUCAAAGGGGAGGAAAAAGAAACUAGGGCCCCGUUGGGGCACUGGCGGGCCCGAGCCGUGUCACGCCGCCCCCAGCGCGACCGCCUCCCCCACCCGAUCGCGUCACACUCAAGGUCCAAAGAUGGUGUGCGCACUUGUUUGUGGUCAUUUACCAUUAUAAUGAACGGGAGGCGCAGUUUCUACCAAAACGCUCGCUGCAGAAAAACUCCAUGUCCUAUUUGAAAAAAGUCUGGACCAUGAGUGAGGGCACAAACACAGCUAAGAUAUAUCCAAAUGGCAAGUUGCUCCUCCUUUCGCUUUUGCCGAGAGAGCAGUGCGUUUGAGCCAUUGAAUGAUGAACAGGAAAAACUUGACUUUAUUCUCCUGCCAUGGGGGGGCGCUCUUUUAAAGAGAAAAACUCCUUCACAAAUGUGUUGAUGGCUGGACAUUGCAUCAUCCUAGAAAACAUGGAGGCCAGUGAGGACAAAAAUAAAAAGUUAUAAGACUUUUAAAUAUGUGGAUUUUAGGGUUAUAUUUGGCGCCCCCUAGAACCUAAACCGUGGGGUGCAGCGUCAUGAUUUGAAUAACUUUUAAUGGCCAUGGGGUGUAGAUUGGCCUGAGCAAAUGUGGUGCCGGUGGAACGAAAGCCUUCGGAGGAAUUAGCGAAAUUCCAAUGUGUGCGAAUCUGCAAAAAAUGCGAAAUAACCCUUUAACCGUACAUUUUACAGAUACGUGGCCAUUGACUUUUUCGAAGAUCUUAUGGAAAUACACGUGUAUGUAAAAUUUUGUGUCAAUACGACAAAACAUACAGGCGUAGCACUCAACAAUGUGUAUUUUCACCUUAGUGGACAAGAAAAAAUUGACUUUUUUCUCCUGCCAUGGGGGGCGCUCUUUUGGCGAGUAAAAAUUCCUUCACAAAUGUGUUGAUGGCUGGACAUUGCAUCAUCCUAGAAAACUUGGAGGCCAGUGGGGACAAAAAUAAAAAGUUAUAAGACUUUUAAAUAUGUGGAUUUUACGGUUAUCUUUGGCUCCCCCUAGAACCUAAACCGUGGGGUGCAGCGUCAUGAUUUGAAUAACUUUUAAUGGCCAUGGGGUGUAGAUUGGCCUGAGCAAAUGUGGUGCCGGUGGAACGAAAGCCUUCGGAGGAGUUAGCGAAAUUCCAAUGUGUGCGGAUCGGCAAAAAAUGCGGAAUAACCCUUUAACCGUACAUUUGACAGAUACGCGCGCAUUGACUUUUUCGUAGAUCUUAUUGAGAUACAUGUGUGUGUCAAUUUUUGUGUCAUUUUGCCAAAGCGUACAGGUGUUACACUCAACAAUGUGUAUUUUCACCUUAGGGGACAAGAAAAAAUGGACUUUUUUCUCCUGCCAUGGGGGGCGCUCUUUUGGGGAGUAAAAAUUCCUUCACAAAUGUGUUGAUGGCUGGACAUUGCAUCAUCCUAGAAAACUUGGAGGCCAGUGAGGGCAAAAAUAAAAAGUUAUAAGACUUUUAAAUAUGUGGAUCUUAGGGUUAUCUUUGGCGCCCCCUAGAACCUAAACCGUGGGGUGCAGCGUCAUGAUUUGAAUAACUUUUAAUGGCCAUGGGGUGUAGAUUGGCCUGAGCAAAUGUGGUGCCGGUGGAACGAAAGCCUUCGGAGGAGUUAGCGAAAUUCCAAUGUGUGCGGAUCGGCAAAAAAUGCGAAAUAACCCUUUAACCGUACAUUUGACAGAUACGCCCGCACUGACUUUUUUGUAGAUCUUAUUGAGAUACAUGUGUGUGUCAAUUUUUGUGUCAUUUUGACAAAGCGUACAGGCGUGACAGUGAAUAGUGUGAAUUUUCACCUUAGGGGGCGCUAUGGAGCCAUUUUGCAUUUUCUUGUUUGGGCGACUUCGGAAUAUCAAAUUUUUCACCAGGCCCGGUCGUCCUGCCAAAUUUCAUGAGUUUUCGCCAGUGGGAAGUGGGCCAUUUUCCAGUUCAAAGGGGAGGAAAAAUAAUAACUAGGGCCCCGUUGGGGCUCUGGCGGGCCCGAGCCAUGUCACGCCGCCCUCAGCGCGACCGCCUCCCCCACCCGAUCGCGUCACACUCAAGGUCCAAAGAUGGUGUGCGCACUUGUUUGUGGUCAUUUACCAUUAUAAUGAACGGGAAGCGCAGUUUCUACCAAAACGCUCGCUGCAGCAAAACUCCAUGACCUAUUUGAAAAAAGUCUGGACCAUGAGUGAGGGCACAAACACAGCUAAGAUAUAUCCAAAUGGCAAGUUGCUCCUCCUUUCGCUUUUGCCGAGAGAGCAGUGCGUUUGAGCCAUUGAAUGAUGAACAGGAAAAACUUGACUUUAUUCUCCUGCCAUGGGGGGGCGCUCUUUUAACGAGAAAAAACUCCUUCACAAAUGUGUUGAUGGCUGGACAUUGCAUCAUCCUAGAAAACAUGGAGGCCAGUGAGGACAAAAAUAAAAAGUUAUAAGACUUUUAAAUAUGUGGAUUUUAGGGUUAUCUUUGGCGCCCCCUAGAACCUAAACCGUGGGGUGCAGCGUCAUGAUUUGAAUAACUUUUAAUGGCCAUGGGGUGUAGAUUGGCCUGAGCAAAUGUGGUGCCGGUGGAACGAAAGCCUUCGGAGGAUUUAGCGAAAUUCCAAUGUGUGCGAAUCUGCAAAAAAUGCGAAAUAACCCUUUAACCGUACAUUUUACAGAUACGUGGCCAUUGACUUUUUCGAAGAUCUUAUUGAAAUACACGUGUAUGUAAAAUUUUGUGUCAAUACGACAAAACAUACAGGCGUAGCACUCAACAAUGUGUAUUUUCACCUUAGUGGACAAGAAAAAAUGGACUUUUUUCUCCUGCCAUGGGGGGGCGCUCUUUUGGCGAGUAAAAAUUCCUUCACAAAUGUGUUGAUGGCUGGACAUUGCAUCAUCCUAGAAAACUUGGAGGCCAGUGGGGACAAAAAUAAAAAGUUAUAAGACUUUUAAAUAUGUGGAUUUUACGGUUAUCUUUGGCGCCCCCUAGAACCUAAACCGUGGGGUGCAGCGUCAUGAUUUGAAUAACUUUUAAUGGCCAUGGGGUGUAGAUUGGCCUGAGCAAAUGUGGUGCCGGUGGAACGAAAGCCUUCGGAGGAGUUAGCGAAAUUCCAAUGUGUGCGGAUCGGCAAAAAAUGCGGAAUAACCCUUUAACCGUACAUUUGACAGAUACGCGCGCAUUGACUUUUUCGUAGAUCUUAUUGAGAUACAUGUGUGUGUCAAUUUUUGUGUCAUUUUGCCAAAGCGUACAGGUGUUACACUCAACAAUGUGUAUUUUCACCUUAGGGGACAAGAAAAAAUGGACUUUUUUCUCCUGCCAUGGGGGGGCGCUCUUUUGGGGAGUAAAAAUUCCUUCACAAAUGUGUUGAUGGCUGGACAUUGCAUCAUCCUAGAAAACUUGGAGGCCAGUGAGGGCAAAAAUAAAAAGUUAUAAGACUUUUAAAUAUGUGGAUCUUAGGGUUAUCUUUGGCGCCCCCUAGAACCUAAACCGUGGGGUGCAGCAUCAUGAUUUGAAUAACUUUUAAUGGCCAUGGGGUGUAGAUUGGCCUGAGCAAAUGUGGUGCCGGUGGAACGAAAGCCUUCGGAGGAGUUAGCGAAAUUGCAAUGUGUGCGGAUCGGCAAAAAAUGCGAAAUAACCCUUUAACCGUACAUUUGACAGAUACGCCCGCACUGACUUUUUUGUAGAUCUUAUUGAGAUACAUGUGUGUGUCAAUUUUUGUGUCAUUUUGACAAAGCGUACAGGCGUGACAGUCAAUAGUGUGAAUUUUCACCUUAGGGGGCGCUAUGGAGCCAUUUUGCAUUUUCUUGUUUGGGCGACUUCGGAAUAUCAAAUUUUUCACCAGGCCCGGUCGUCCUGCCAAAUUUCAUGAGUUUUCGCCAGUGGGAAGUGGGCCAUUUUCCAGCUCAAAGGGGAGGAAAAAUAAUAACUAGGGCCCCGGUGGGGCACUGUCGGGCCCGAGCCGCGUCGCGCCGCCCCCAGCGCGACCGCCUCCCCCUCCCGAUCGCGUCACACUCAAGGUCCAAAGAUGGUGUGCGCACUUGUCUGUGGUCAUUUCCCAUUAUAAUGAAUGGGAGGCGCAGUUUCUACCAAAACGCUCGCUGCAGACAAACUACAUGUCCUAUUUGAAAAAAGUCUGGACCAUGAGUGAGGGCACAAACACAGCUAGUAUAUAUCCAAAUGGCAAGUUGCUCCUCCUUUCGGUUUUGCAGAGAGAGCGAUGCGUUUGAGCCAUUGAGCGAUGGGCAGGAAAAACUUGACUUUUUCUCCUGCCAUGGGGGGCGCUCUUUUGGGGAGAAAAAAUUCCUUCACAAAUGUGUUGAUGGCUGGACAUUGCAUCAUCCUAGAAAACUUGGAGGCCAGUGAGGACAAAAAUAAAAAGUUAUAAGACUUUUAAAAAUGUGGAUAUUUGGGUCCUCUUUGGCGCCCCCUAGAACGUAAACUGUGGGGUGCAGCGUCAUGAUUUGUACAACUUUGAAUGGCCAUGGGGUGUAGAUUGACCUGAGCAAAUUUGAAGCCGAUGGGACAAAAGAUUUAGGAGGAGUUAGCGAAAUUCCAAUGUGUGCGGAUCGGCAAAAAAUGCGAAAUAACCCUUUAACCGUACAUUUGACAGAUACGCCCGCACUGACUUUUUUGUAGAUCUUAUUGAGAUACAUGUGUGUGUCAAUUUUUGUGUCAAUAUGACAAAGCGUAAAGGCGUGACAGUCAAUAGUGUGAAUUUUCGCCUUAGGAGACAAGAAAAAAUGGACUUUUUUCUCCUGCCAUGGGGGGGCGCUCUUUUGGGGAGUAAAAAUUCCUUCACAAAUGUGUUGAUGGCUGGACAUUGCAUCAUCCUAGAAAACUUGGAGGCCAGUGAGGACAAAAAUAAAAAGUUAUACGACUUUUAAGAAUGUGGAUUUCUGGGUUAUCUUUGGCGCCCCCUAGAACGUAAACCGUGGGAUGCAGCGUCAUGAUUUGUACAACUUUUAAUGGCCAUGGGGUGUAGAUUGGCCUGAGCAAAUUUGGUGCCGGUGGAACGAAAGCCUUCGGAGGAGUUAGCGAAAUUCCAAUGUGUGCGGAUCGGCAAAAAAUGCGAAAUAGCCCUUUAACCGUACAUUUGACAGAUACGCCCGCACUGACUUUUUUGUAGAUCUUAUUGAGAUACACGUGUGUGUCAAAUUUUGUGUCAUUUUGACAAAGCGUACAGGCGUGACACUCAAUCAUGUGAAUUUUUCACCUUAGGGGGCGCUAUGGAGCCAUUUUGCAUUUGAUUUUUUGGGCGACUUCAGAAUAUCGAAUUUUUCACCAGGCCCGGUCGUCCUGCCAAAUUUCAUGACUUUUCACCAGUGGGAAGUGGGCCAUUUUCCAGUUCAAAGGGGCAGAAAAAUAAUAAGAAGAAGAAGAAGAAAGAAGAAUCCAUCAGGAAUAAUAGGGCUCUCGCAGCUGCUUAGCAGCUACGCUCGGGCCCUAAUAAUAACACUAGGACCCCGUUGGGGCACUGGCGGGCCCGAGCUGUGUCGCGCCGCCCCCAACACGACCGCCUCUCCCUCCCGAUCGCGUCACACUCAAGGUCCAAAGAUGGUGUGCACACUUGUCUGUGGUCAUUUACCAUUAUAAUGAAUGGGAGGCGCAGUUUCUACCAAAACGCUCGCUGCAGACAAACUACAUGUCCUAUUUGAAAAAAGUCUGGACCAUGAGUGAGGGCACAAACACAGCUAGGAUAUAUCCAAAUGGCAAGUUUCUCCUCCUUUCGGUUUUGCCGAGAGAGCGAUGUGUUUGAGCCGUUGAGCGAUGGGCAGGAAAAACUUGACUUUUUCUCCUGCCAUGGGGGGGCACUCUUUUAGGGAGUAAAAAUUCCUUCACAAAUGUGUUGAUGGCUGGACAUUGCAUCAUCCUAGAAAACUUGGAGGCCAGUGAGGACAAAAAUAAAAAGUUAUAAGACUUUUAAAUAUGUGGAUUUUAGGGUUAUCUUUGGCGCCCCCUAGAACCUAAACCGUGGGGUGCAGCAUCAUGAUUUGAAUAACUUUUAAUGGCCAUGGGGUGUAGAUUGGCCUGAGCAAAUGUGGUGCCGGUGGAACAAAAGCCUUCGGAGGAGUUAGCGAAAUUCCAAUGUGUACGGAUCGCCAAAAAAUGCGAAAUAGCCCUUUAACCGUACAUUUGACAGAUACGCCCGCAUUGACUUUUUCGUAGAUAUUAUUGAGAUACACCUGUGUGCCAAAUUUUGUGUCAUUUUGACAAAGUGUAGAGGCGUGACACUGAACAAUGUGUAUUUUCACCUUAGGGGACAAGAAAAAAUGGACUUUUUUCUCCUGCCAUGGGGGGCGCUCUUUUGGGGAGUAAAAAUUCCUUCACAAAUGUGUUGAUGGCUGGACAUUGCAUCAUCCUAGAAAACUUGGAGGCCAGUGAGGACAAAAAUAAAAAGUUAUAAGACUUUUAAAUAUGUGGAUUUUCGGGUUAUCUUUGGCGCCCCCUAGAACCUAAACCGUGGGGUGCAGCGUCAUGAUUUGAAUAACUUUUAAUGGCCAUGGGGUGUAGAUUGGCCUGAGCAAAUGUGGUGCCGGUGGAAUAAAAGCCUUCGGAGGAGUUAGCGAAAUUCCAAUGCGUACGGAUCGCCAAAAAAUGCGAAAUAGCCCUUUAACCGUACAUUUGACAGAUACGCCCGCAUUGACUUUUUUGUAGAUCUUAUUGAGACACACCUGUGUGCCAAAUUUUGUGUCAUUUUGACAAAGUGUAGAGGCGUGACACUCAACAAUGUGUAUUUUCACCUUAGGGGACAAGAAAAAAUGGACUUUUUUCUCCUGCCAUGGGGGGGCGCUCUUUUGGGGAGUAAAAAUUCCUUCACAAAUGUGUUGAUGGCUGGACAUUGCAUCAUCCUAGAAAACUUGGAGGCCAGUGAGGACAAAAAUAAAAAGUUAUAAGACUUUUAAAUAUGUGGAUUUUAGGGUUAUCUUUGGCGCCCCCUAGAACCUAAACCGUGGGGUGCAGCGUCAUGAUUUGAAUAACUUUUAAUGGCCAUGGGGUGUAGAUUGGCCUGAGCAAAUGUGGUGCCGGUGGAACAAAAGCCUUCGGAGGAGUUAGCGAAAUUCCAAUGUGUACGGAUCGCCAAAAAAUGCGAAAUAGCCCUUAAACCGUACAUUUGACAGAUACGCCCGCACUGACUUUUUUGUAGAUCUUAUUGAGAUACAUAUGUGUGUCAAAUUUUGUGUCAUUUUGACAAAGCGUACAGGCGUGACAGUCAAUAGUGUGAAUUUCCACCUUAGGGGGCGCUAUGGAGCCAUUUUGCAUUUUAUUGUUUGGGCGACUUCAGAAUAUCAAAUUUUUCACCAGGCCCGGUCGUCCUGCCAAAUUUCAUGAGUUUUCGCCAGUGGGAAGUGGGCCAUUUUCCAGUUCAAAGGGGAGGAAAAAUAAUAAUAAUAAUAACUAGGGCCCCGUUGGGGCACUGGCGGGCCCGAGCCGCGUUGCGCCGCCCCCAGUGCGACCGCCUCCCCCUCCCGAUCGCGUCACACGCAAGGUCCAAAGAUGGUGUGCGUACUUGUCUGUGGUCAUUUCCCAUUAUAAUGAAUGGGAGGCGCAGUUUCUACCAAAACACUCGCUGCAGACAAACUACAUGUCCUAUUUGAAAAAAGUCUGGACCAUGAGUGAGGGCACAAACACAGCUAGGAUAUAUCCAAACGGCAAGUUGCUCCUCCUUACGGUGUUGCCGGGAGAGCGAUGCGAUUGAGCCAUUGAGUGAUGGGCAGGAAAAACUUGACUGUUUCUCCUGCCAUGGGGGAUGGGGGAUGGGGGAUUGGGGGGGGGGGGGGGGGAUUCUUUUAAGAAUGUGGAUAUUUGGGUCAUCUUUGGCGCCCCCUAGAACGUAAACCGUGGGGUGCAGCGUCAUGAUUUUUAAAACUUUGAAUGGCCAUGGGGUGUAGAUUGGCCUGAGCAAAUUUGGUGUCAGUGGGACGAAAGCCUUAGGAGGAGUUAGCCACAUUCCAAUGUGUGCUAAUGGGCAAAAAAUGCAAAAUAGCCCUUUAACCGUACAUUUUACAGAUACGCGCGCAUUGACUGUUUCGUAGAUCUUAUUGAGAUACAUGUGUGUGUCAAAUUUUGUGUCAAUAUGACAAAGCAUACAGGUAUGACAGUCAACAAUGUGUAUUUUCACCUUAUGGGACAAGAAAAAAUGGACUUUUUUCUCCUGCCAUGGGGGGGCGCUCUUUUGGGGAGUAAAAAUUCCUCCACAAAUGUGUUGAUGGCUGGACAUUGCAUCAUCCUAGAAAACUUGGAGGCCAGAGAGGACAAAAAUAAAAAGUUAUAAGACUUUUAAAUAUGUGGAUUUUAGGGUUAUCUUUGGCGCCCCCUAGAACCUAAACCGUGGGGUGCAGCGUCAUGAUUUGAAUAACUUUUAAUGGCCAUGGGGUGUAGAUUGGCCUGAGCAAAUGUGGUGCCAGUGGAACGAAAGCCUUCGGAGGAGUUAGCGAAAUUCCAAUGUGUGCGGAUCGGCAAAAAAUGCGCAAUAACCCUUUAACCGUACAUUUGACAGAUACGCCCGCACUGACUUUUUUGUAGAUCUUAUUGAGAUACAUGUGUGUGUCAAUUUUUGUGUAAUUUUGACAAAGCGUACAGGCGUGACAGUCAAUAGUGUGAAUUUUCACCUUAUGGGACAAGAAAAAAUGGACUUUUUUCUCCUGCCAUGGGGGGGCGCUCUUUUGGGGAGUAAAAAUUCCUUCACAAAUGUGUUGAUGGCUGGACAUUGCAUCAUCCUAGAAAACUUGGAGGCCAGUGAGGGCAAAAAUAAAAAGUUAUAAGACUUUUAAAUAUGUGGAUUUUAGGGUUAUCUUUGGCGCCCCCUAGAACCUAAACCGUGGGGUGCAGCGUCAUGAUUUGAAUAACUUUUAAUGGCCAUGGGGUGUAGAUUGGCCUGAGCAAAUGUGGUGCCGGUGGAACUAAAGCCUUCGGAGGAGUUAGCGAAAUUCCAAUGUGUGCGGAUCGGCAAAAAAUGCGCAAUAACCCUUUAACCGUACAUUUGACAGAUACGCCCGCACUGACUUUUUUGUAGAUCUUAUUGAGAUACAUGUGUGUGUCAAUUUUUUUGUCAUUUUGACAAAGCGUACAGGCGUCAGGUGAAUUUUUCACCUUAGGGGGCGCUAUGGAGCCAUUUUGCAUUUUCUUGUUUGGGCGACUUCAGAAUAUCAAAUUUUUCACCAGGCCCGGUCGUCCUGCCAAAUUUCAUGAGUUUUCGCCAGUGGGAAGUGGGCCAUUUUCCAGUUCAAAGGGGAGGAAAAAGAAAAAAGAAACAAAGAAAAACCACUUGGGGAAUAAUAGGGCUCUCGCAGCUGCUUAGCAGCUACGCUCGGGCCCUAAUAACAAAAGAAGGAAACAUGCAGGAACAAGAGGGCUCUCGCAGCUGCUUAGCAGCUACGCUCGGGCCCUAAAAAGAAAGAAAGAAACAAAGACUAGGACCCCGUUGGGGCACUGUCGGGCCCGAGCCGUGUCGCGCCGCCCCCAGUGCGACCGCCUCCCCCUCCCGAUCGCGUCACACUCAAGAUCCAAAGAUGGUGUGCGCACUUGUCUGUGGUCAUUUCCUAUUAUAAUGAAUGGGAGGCGCAGUUUCUACCAAAACACUCGCUGCAGACAAACUUCAUGUCCUAUUUGAAAAAAGUCUGGACCAUGAGUGAGGGCACAAACACAGCUAUGAUAUAUCGAAAUGGCAGGUUGCUCCUCCUUACGGUGUUGCCUGGAGAGCGAUGCGAUUGAGCCAUUGAGCGAUGGGCAGGAAAAAACUUUUUCUCCUGCCAUAUGGGGGGGGGGGAUGUGGAUUCUUUGAAAUAUGUGGAUUUUUGGGUCAUCUUUGGCGCCCCCUAGAACGUAAACCGUGGGGUGCAGCGUCAUGAUUUUUACAACUUUGAAUGGCCAUGGGGUGUAGAUUGGCCUGAGCAAAUUUGGUGUCAGUGGGACGAAAGCCUUAGGAGGAGUUAGCCACAUUCCAAUGUGUGCGAAUCGGCAAAAAAUGCAAAAUAGCCCUUUAACCGUACAUUUGACAGAUACGCGCUAAUCGACUCUUUUGUAGAUCUUAUUGAGAUACAUAUGUGUGUCAAUUUUUGUGUCAAUAUGAUAAAGCGUACAGGCGUGACAGUCAAUAGUGUGAAUUUCCACCUUAGGGGACAAGAAAAAAUUGGCUUUUUUUUCCUGCCAUGGGGGGGCGCUCUUUUGGGGAGUAAAAAUUCCUUCACAAAUGUGUUGAUGGCUGGACAUUGCAUCAUCCUAGAAAACUUGGAGGCCAGUGAGGACAAAAAUAAAAAGUUAUAAGACUUUUAAAUAUGUGGAUUUUAGGGUUAUCUUUGGCGCCCCCUAGAACCUAAACCGUGGGAUGCAGCGUCAUGAUUUGAAUAACUUUUAAUGGCCAUGGGGUGUAGAUUGGCCUGAGCAAAUGUGGUACCGGUGGAAUGAAAGCCUUCGGAGGAGUUAGCGAAAUUCCAAUGUGUGCGGAUCGGCAAAAAAUGCGGAAUAACCCUUUAACCGUACAUUUGACAGAUACGCGCGCAUUGACUUUUUCGUAGAUCUUAUUGAGAUACAUGUGUGUGUCAAUUUUUGUGUCAUUUUGCCAAAGCGUACAGGUGUUACACUCAACAAUGUGUAUUUUCGCCUUAGGGGACAAGAAAAAAUGGACUUUUUUCUCCUGCCAUGGGGGGCGCUCUUUUGGGGAGUAAAAAUUCCUUCACAAAUGUGUUGAUGGCUGGACAUUGCAUCAUCCUAGAAAACUUGGAGGCCAGUGAGGGCAAAAAUAAAAAGUUAUAAGACUUUUAAAUAUGUGGAUCUUAGGGUUAUCUUUGGCGCCCCCUAGAACCUAAACCGUGGGGUGCAGCGUCAUGAUUUGAAUAACUUUUAAUGGCCAUGGGGUGUAGAUUGGCCUGAGCAAAUGUGGUGCCGGUGGAACGAAAGCCUUCGGAGGAGUUAGCGAAAUUCCAAUGUGUGCGGAUCGGCAAAAAAUGCGAAAUAACCCUUUAACCGUACAUUUGACAGAUAUGCCCGCACUGACUUUUUUGUAGAUCUUAUUGAGAUACAUGUGUGUGUCAAUUUUUGUGUCAUUUUGACAAAGCGUACAGGCGUGACAGUCAAUAGUGUGAAUUUUCACCUUAGGGGGCGCUAUGGAGCCAUUUUGCAUUUUCUUGUUUGGGCGACUUCGGAAUAUCAAAUUUUUCACCAGGCCCGGUCGUCCUGCCAAAUUUCAUGAGUUUUCGCCAGUGGGAAGUGGGCCAUUUUCCAGUUCAAAGGGGAGGAAAAAUAAUAAUAAUAACACUAGGACCCCGUUGGGGCACUGGCGGGCCCGAGCUGUGUCGCGCCGCCCCCAACACGACCGCCUCUCCCUCCCGAUCGCGUCACACUCAAGGUCCAAAGAUGGUGUGCACACUUGUCUGUGGUCAUUUACCAUUAUAAUGAAUGGGAGGCGCAGUUUCUACCAAAACGCUCGCUGCAGACAAACUACAUGUCCUAUUUGAAAAAAGUCUGGACCAUGAGUGAGGGCACAAACACAGCUAGGAUAUAUCCAAAUGGCAAGUUUCUCCUCCUUUCGGUUUUGCCGAGAGAGCGAUGUGUUUGAGCCGUUGAGCGAUGGGCAGGAAAAACUUGACUUUUUCUCCUGCCAUGGGGGGGCACUCUUUUAGGGAGUAAAAAUUCCUUCACAAAUGUGUUGAUGGCUGGACAUUGCAUCAUCCUAGAAAACUUGGAGGCCAGUGAGGACAAAAAUAAAAAGUUAUAAGACUUUUAAAUAUGUGGAUUUUAGGGUUAUCUUUGGCGCCCCCUAGAACCUAAACCGUGGGGUGCAGCAUCAUGAUUUGAAUAACUUUUAAUGGCCAUGGGGUGUAGAUUGGCCUGAGCAAAUGUGGUGCCGGUGGAACAAAAGCCUUCGGAGGAGUUAGCGAAAUUCCAAUGUGUACGGAUCGCCAAAAAAUGCGAAAUAGCCCUUUAACCGUACAUUUGACAGAUACGCCCGCAUUGACUUUUUCGUAGAUAUUAUUGAGAUACACCUGUGUGCCAAAUUUUGUGUCAUUUUGACAAAGUGUAGAGGCGUGACACUGAACAAUGUGUAUUUUCACCUUAGGGGACAAGAAAAAAUGGACUUUUUUCUCCUGCCAUGGGGGGGCGCUCUUUUGGGGAGUAAAAAUUCCUUCACAAAUGUGUUGAUGGCUGGACAUUGCAUCAUCCUAGAAAACUUGGAGGCCAGUGAGGACAAAAAUAAAAAGUUAUAAGACUUUUAAAUAUGUGGAUUUUCGGGUUAUCUUUGGCGCCCCCUAGAACCUAAACCGUGGGGUGCAGCGUCAUGAUUUGAAUAACUUUUAAUGGCCAUGGGGUGUAGAUUGGCCUGAGCAAAUGUGGUGCCGGUGGAAUAAAAGCCUUCGGAGGAGUUAGCGAAAUUCCAAUGCGUACGGAUCGCCAAAAAAUGCGAAAUAGCCCUUUAACCGUACAUUUGACAGAUACGCCCGCAUUGACUUUUUUGUAGAUCUUAUUGAGACACACCUGUGUGCCAAAUUUUGUGUCAUUUUGACAAAGUGUAGAGGCGUGACACUCAACAAUGUGUAUUUUCACCUUAGGGGACAAGAAAAAAUGGACUUUUUUCUCCUGCCAUGGGGGGGCGCUCUUUUGGGGAGUAAAAAUUCCUUCACAAAUGUGUUGAUGGCUGGACAUUGCAUCAUCCUAGAAAACUUGGAGGCCAGUGAGGACAAAAAUAAAAAGUUAUAAGACUUUUAAAUAUGUGGAUUUUAGGGUUAUCUUUGGCGCCCCCUAGAACCUAAACCGUGGGGUGCAGCGUCAUGAUUUGAAUAACUUUUAAUGGCCAUGGGGUGUAGAUUGGCCUGAGCAAAUGUGGUGCCGGUGGAACAAAAGCCUUCGGAGGAGUUAGCGAAAUUCCAAUGUGUACGGAUCGCCAAAAAAUGCGAAAUAGCCCUUAAACCGUACAUUUGACAGAUACGCCCGCACUGACUUUUUUGUAGAUCUUAUUGAGAUACAUAUGUGUGUCAAAUUUUGUGUCAUUUUGACAAAGCGUACAGGCGUGACAGUCAAUAGUGUGAAUUUCCACCUUAGGGGGCGCUAUGGAGCCAUUUUGCAUUUUAUUGUUUGGGCGACUUCAGAAUAUCAAAUUUUUCACCAGGCCCGGUCGUCCUGCCAAAUUUCAUGAGUUUUCGCCAGUGGGAAGUGGGCCAUUUUCCAGUUCAAAGGGGAGGAAAAAUAAUAAUAAUAAUAAUAACAAAAGAAGGAAACAUGCAGGAACAAGAGGGCUCUCGCAGCUGCUUAGCAGCUACGCUCGGGCCCUAAAAAGAAAGAAAGAAACAAAGACUAGGACCCCGUUGGGGCACUGUCGGGCCCGAGCCGUGUCGCGCCGCCCCCAGUGCGACCGCCUCCCCCUCCCGAUCGCGUCACACUCAAGAUCCAAAGAUGGUGUGCGCACUUGUCUGUGGUCAUUUCCUAUUAUAAUGAAUGGGAGGCGCAGUUUCUACCAAAACACUCGCUGCAGACAAACUUCAUGUCCUAUUUGAAAAAAGUCUGGACCAUGAGUGAGGGCACAAACACAGCUAUGAUAUAUCGAAAUGGCAGGUUGCUCCUCCUUACGGUGUUGCCUGGAGAGCGAUGCGAUUGAGCCAUUGAGCGAUGGGCAGGAAAAAACUUUUUCUCCUGCCAUAUGGGGGGGGGGGGAUGUGGAUUCUUUGAAAUAUGUGGAUUUUUGGGUCAUCUUUGGCGCCCCCUAGAACGUAAACCGUGGGGUGCAGCGUCAUGAUUUUUACAACUUUGAAUGGCCAUGGGGUGUAGAUUGGCCUGAGCAAAUUUGGUGUCAGUGGGACGAAAGCCUUAGGAGGAGUUAGCCACAUUCCAAUGUGUGCGAAUCGGCAAAAAAUGCAAAAUAGCCCUUUAACCGUACAUUUGACAGAUACGCGCUAAUCGACUCUUUUGUAGAUCUUAUUGAGAUACAUAUGUGUGUCAAUUUUUGUGUCAAUAUGAUAAAGCGUACAGGCGUGACAGUCAAUAGUGUGAAUUUCCACCUUAGGGGACAAGAAAAAAUUGGCUUUUUUUUCCUGCCAUGGGGGGGCGCUCUUUUGGGGAGUAAAAAUUCCUUCACAAAUGUGUUGAUGGCUGGACAUUGCAUCAUCCUAGAAAACUUGGAGGCCAGUGAGGACAAAAAUAAAAAGUUAUAAGACUUUUAAAUAUGUGGAUUUUAGGGUUAUCUUUGGCGCCCCCUAGAACCUAAACCGUGGGAUGCAGCGUCAUGAUUUGAAUAACUUUUAAUGGCCAUGGGGUGUAGAUUGGCCUGAGCAAAUGUGGUACCGGUGGAAUGAAAGCCUUCGGAGGAGUUAGCGAAAUUCCAAUGUGUGCGGAUCGGCAAAAAAUGCGGAAUAACCCUUUAACCGUACAUUUGACAGAUACGCGCGCAUUGACUUUUUCGUAGAUCUUAUUGAGAUACAUGUGUGUGUCAAUUUUUGUGUCAUUUUGCCAAAGCGUACAGGUGUUACACUCAACAAUGUGUAUUUUCGCCUUAGGGGACAAGAAAAAAUGGACUUUUUUCUCCUGCCAUGGGGGGGCGCUCUUUUGGGGAGUAAAAAUUCCUUCACAAAUGUGUUGAUGGCUGGACAUUGCAUCAUCCUAGAAAACUUGGAGGCCAGUGAGGGCAAAAAUAAAAAGUUAUAAGACUUUUAAAUAUGUGGAUCUUAGGGUUAUCUUUGGCGCCCCCUAGAACCUAAACCGUGGGGUGCAGCGUCAUGAUUUGAAUAACUUUUAAUGGCCAUGGGGUGUAGAUUGGCCUGAGCAAAUGUGGUGCCGGUGGAACGAAAGCCUUCGGAGGAGUUAGCGAAAUUCCAAUGUGUGCGGAUCGGCAAAAAAUGCUAAAUAACCCUUUAACCGUACAUUUGACAGAUAUGCCCGCACUGACUUUUUUGUAGAUCUUAUUGAGAUACAUGUGUGUGUCAAUUUUUGUGUCAUUUUGACAAAGCGUACAGGCGUGACAGUCAAUAGUGUGAAUUUUCACCUUAGGGGGCGCUAUGGAGCCAUUUUGCAUUUUCUUGUUUGGGCGACUUCGGAAUAUCAAAUUUUUCACCAGGCCCGGUCGUCCUGCCAAAUUUCAUGAGUUUUCGCCAGUGGGAAGUGGGCCAUUUUCCAGUUCAAAGGGGAGGAAAAAUAAUAACUAGGGCCCCGUUGGGGCACUGGCGGGCCCGAGCCGUGUCGCGCUGCCCCCCCCAACGCGCUGCCUCCCCGUCCCAUUCGCGUCCUCUGGCCAUCGUCCUCUCUGGUAACGCCCAUCACUGCAAAGACCCUUUCCUUCAUCGGCGUUUGCUGUUCUUCCUGCCAGUGCGUGUUGCUUUCACUUACACUUGCCACAGCCAGCCUCGUGAGUGCCUAGCCUAUUGGAUAUCACUGUCAUCUACACAGGACAGUCAUAACCUUUCUAUUAAUACUUUGUUUUUUAAUUUCACAUUAAUUUCCAUAUUGUAUAAAUGACUGGAAAAAACUUGAGCCCCUGCCCCUGUAUAAUCAUGUGCACGUCCCUGUUCUAGCUCCAAGGUGAAUCUUCACUGCUCAUGUUCUCCUCAGAAAUAGUCACCUCACUCCCCUCAGGUUACUGUACACAUGCACCAACUAUCUGCUUCAGGUUUGGAUGGAGCUUCAUGGUUGUCUUUUGGAGAAAUGAACAGUCAAGUUGUGUUUGAAAUUUGAUUUUUUUCAGGGGCAAAAGGAAGCCUCUGCAUUCUUGUCAAAUAUGUAAACAGCAUGUUUUUGCAGGUGCUAAAAAACAGACUCUGAGUGUGUGUGUGUGUGUGUGUGUGUGUGUGUGUGUGUGUGUGUGUGUGUGUUGGCGUGUGUGUAUAUGUGUGUGUAUCCUGCAGUACUCUGUACUCCUGCAGUGGCCAAAAAGACUUUUAAGAAUGUGGAUUUUUGGGUCAUCUUUGGCGCCCCCUAGAACUGCAGUACUCUGUACUCCUGCAGUGGCCAAAAUGACUUUUAAGAAUGUGGAUUUUUGGGUCAUCUUUGGCGCCCCCUAGAACGUAAACCGUGGGGUGCAGCGUCAUGAUUUUUACAACUUUGAAUGGGCAUGGGGUGUAGAUUGCCCUGAGCAAAUUUGGUAUCAGUGGGACGAAAGCCUUAGGAGGAGAUAGCCACAUUCCAAUGUGUGCGAAUCGGCAAAAAAUGCGAAAUAGCCCUUUAACCGUACAUUAUACAGAUACGCGCUCUUUGACUUUUUCGUAGAUCUAAUUGAGAUACACAUGAUUGUCAAUUUUUGUGUCAAUAUGACAAAGCGUUCAGGCGUGACACUCAACAAUGUGUAUUUUCAUGUAAGGGGACAAGAAAAAAUUGACUUUUUUCUCCUGCCAUGGGGGGGCGCUCUUUUGGGGAGUAAAAAUUCCUUCACAAAUGUGUUGAUGGCUGGACAUUGCAUCAUCCUAGAAAACUUGGAGGGCAGUGAGGACAAAAAUAAAAAGUUAUAAGACUUUUAAAAAUGUGGAUUUUUGGGUUAUCUUUGGCGCCCCCUAGAACCUAAACCGUGGGGUGCAGCGUCAUGAUUUGUACAACUUUUAAUGGCCAUGGGGUGUAGACUGGCCUGAGCAAAUGUGGUGCCGGUGGAACGAAAGCCUUCGGAGGAGUUAGCGAAAUUCCAAUGUGUGCGGAUCGGCAAAAAAUGCGAAAUAACCCUUUAACCGUACAUUUGACAGAUACGCCCGCACUGACUUUUUUGUAGAUCUUAUUGAGAUACAUAUGUGUGUCAAUUUUUGUGUCAAUAUGACAAAACGUACAGACGUGACAGUCAAUAGUGUGAAUUUCCACCUUAGGGGGCGCUAUGGAGCCAUUUUGCAUUUUAUUGUUUGGGCGACUUCAGAAUAUUGAAUUUUUCACCAGGCCCGGUCGUCCUGCCAAAUUUCAUGAGUUUUCGCCAGUGGGAAGUGGGCCAUUUUCCAGUUUAAAGCGGAGGAAAAAUAAUAAUAAUAAUAACAAAAGAAGAAUCCAUCAGGAACAAGAGGGCUCUCGCAGCUGCUUAGCAGCUACGCUCGGGCCCUAACUAGGACCCCGUUGGGGCACUGGCGGGCCCGAGCUGUGUCGCGUCCCCGCCCCCAACGCGCUGCCUCCCCGUCCCAUUUGUGUCCUCUGGCCAUCGCCUUCUCUGGUAACGCCCAUCACUGCAAAGACCCUUUUCCUUCAUCGGCGUUUGCUGUUCUUCCUGCCAGUGCGUGUUGCUUUCACUUACACUUGCCACAGCCAGCCUCGUGAGUGCCUAGCCUAUUGGAUAUCACUGUCACCUACACAGGACAGUCAUUACCUUUCUAUUAAUACUUUGUUUUUUAAUUUCACAUUAAUUUCCAUAUUGUAUAAACAACUGGAAAAAACUUGAGCCCCUGCCCCUGUAUAAUCAUGUGCACGUCUCUGUUCUAGCUCUAAGGUGAAUCUUCACUGCUCAUGUUCUCCUCAGAAGCAGUCACCUCACUCCCCUCAGGUUACUGUACACAUGCACCAACUGCCUGCUUCAGGUUUGGAUGGAGCUUCAUGGUUGUCUUUUGGAGAAAUGACCAGUCAAGUUGUGUUUGAAAUUUGAUUUUUUUCAGGGGCAAAAGGAGCCUCUGCAUUCUUGUCAAAUAUGUAAAUAGCAUGUUUUUGCAGGUGCUAAAAACCAGACUCUGAGUGUGUGUGUGUGCGUGUGUGUGUGUGUCUGUGUGUGUGUGUGUGUGUGUGCGUUCAAGUCACAUGACAUAUUUAACCGGAUGUAGCUGCAAGACGGAGCCUCGUUGACUCUCCGUUUCAACUUAUCUCAAAAGUGAGGACCUCAACAUAUAUACCAGUUUUUAAAUUGUGUUGAUAGGCCAAAUAAAACCAGAGUUAUGAUAAAUUAUGUCCGCAAUACUUUUUUUCUGCUUAUUUUGAUCACGUUCGGCGCUCGAUCGCGCUGUAUGAGACAGGAAAACAUAGCAUGCAGACAUUAGCGACAGGUCUUACAGGCGGAAAAGGCUUGCCAAAAGAAAAAAAAAACACACCACAACAUCUCUCCUAUUGGUGGAAAACUUCACCACAACAACCAAUCCAAAAUUAUAUGGUGACUGAUUGACAAGGGGCGGGCGCUUACGUUCUUCCUGCAACAUGAGAAGGGAGGGAGGAACUCUCAGCAGGGAUGCAGUCUGGGACACGUAGUUGCAAACCUAGCGACUUUGUUGUUAGAUUAAAUGACUUUUCAGACCCCCUAACGACUUUUUUUUUAGAAAGAAAGGGACUUUUAUCGACUUCUUCUGGAGUUUAGAGACUCUGACAUGAAGCAGGCUUUCCUUACUGAGGAGUUAGCAACGCUGCUAAGGGUGCAGAGUCACACAUGCGCUCCGAGCUCUGCAUGGGAGACUAAAGCUGACAGAGCUGCAGCAGUUAGCAGGUUUCACCCUCAGAGACCACCAGGGGUUCAUGUUGAGGCAUUUUCAGUUUUUUUUUUUUUUUUUGCCAUAGACACUGUCAGCACAAUCUGCAGUUACACUAACAAAAAUGCUGCAAAAAAAAAAGAAUUAUGGAAAAAUUACACAUGGACUGACAUAGAGGAGGAUCUACACAAGUUUUUUACAUCAUGUUUUACAUCAUGCAUCAUUUACAUCAUGUUUUUUUGUAGUGGCAUGAAUAAAAAGUGACAUUUGUGAGACUAUACAGUGUUUUGUAAAUAAUUUUACAAAGAACGCCUGAGCCAUUGCCUGCAUUUUGAUGUAAAUAGAGGUAAAUUACUAUGUUCUUUGUUAAAAAUUUGCAUAUGUUUUGAAGUUUACAAUUUUUAUUUGAAGUUUAAGUUUUAAAAACAGUUCAUCACACAUAUUUGUGGUUUAAUUUCACAUGAAUUUCCAUAUUGUAUAAAUGACUGGAAAAAACUUGAGCCCCUGCCCCUGUAUAAUCAUGUGCACGUCCCUGUUCUAGCUCCAAGGUGAAUCUUCACUGCUCAUGUUCUCCUCAGAAAUAGUCACCUCACUCCCCUCAGGUUACUGUACACAUGCACCAACUAUCUGCUUCAGGUUUGGAUGGAGCUUCAUGGUUGUCUUUUGGAGAAAUGAACAGUCAAGUUGUGUUUGAAAUUUGAUUUUUUUCAGGGGCAAAAGCCUCUGCAUUCUUGUCAAAUAUGUAAACAGCAUGUUUUUGCAGGUGCUAAAAAACAGACUCUGAGUGUGUGUGUGUGUGUGUGUGUGUGUGUGUGUGUGUGUGUGUGUGUGUGUGUGUGUGUGUGUGUUGGCGUGUGUGUUGGCGUGUGUGUAUCCUGCAGUACUCUGUACUCCUGCAGUGGCCAAAAAGACUUUUAAGAAUGUGGAUUUUUGGGUCAUCUUUGGCGCCCCCUAGAACUGCAGUACUCUGUACUCCUGCAGUGGCCAAAAUGACUUUUAAGAAUGUGGAUUUUUGGGUCAUCUUUGGCGCCCCCUAGAACGUAAACCGUGGGGUGCAGCGUCAUGAUUUUUACAACUUUGAAUGGGCAUGGGGUGUAGAUUGCCCUGAGCAAAUUUGGUAUCGGUGGGACGAAAGCCUUAGGAGGAGAUAGCCACAUUCCAAUGUGUGCGAAUCGGCAAAAAAUGCAAAAUAGCCCUUUAACCGUACAUUAUACAGAUACGCGCUCUUUGACUUUUUCGUAGAUCUAAUUGAGAUACACAUGAUUGUCAAUUUUUGUGUCAAUAUGACAAAGCGUUCAGGCGUGACACUCAACAAUGUGUAUUUUUAUGUAAGGGGACAAGAAAAAAUUGACUUUUUUCUCCUACCAUGGGGGGGCGCUCUUUUGGGGAGUAAAAAUUCCUUCACAAAUGUGUUGAUGGCUGGACAUUGCAUCAUCCUAGAAAACUUGGAGGCCAGUGAGGACAAAAAUAAAAAGUUAUAAAACAUUUAAGAAUGUGGAUUUUUGGGUUAUUUUUGGCGCCCCCUAGAACCUAAACCAUGGGGUGCAGCAUCAUGAUUUGAAUAACUUUUAAUGGCCAUGGGGUGUAGAUUGGCCUGAGCAAAUGUGGUGCCGGUGGAACGAAAGCCUUCGGAGGAGUUAGCGAAAUUCCAAUGUGUGCGUAUCGGCAAAAAAUGCGGAAUAACCCUUUAACUGUACAUUUGACAGAUACGCGCGCAUGGACUUUUUUGUAGAUCUUAUUGAGAUACAUGUGUGUGUCAAUUUUUGUGUCAUUUUGACAAAGCGUAUAGGCGUGACACUCAACAAUGUGUAUUUUCACCUUAGGGGACAAGAAAAAAUGGACUUUUUUCUCCUGCCAUGGGGGGGCGCUCUUUUGGGGAGUAAAAAUUCCUUCACAAAUGUGUUGAUGGCUGGACAUUGCAUCAUCCUAGAAAACUUGGAGGCCAGUGAGGACAAAAAUAAAAAGUUAUAAGACUUUUAAAUAUGUGGAUUUUAGUGUUAUCUUUGGCGCCCCCUAGAACCUAAACCUUGGGGUGCAGCGUCAUGAUUUUGAUAACUUUUAAUGGCCACGGGGUGUAGAUUGGCCUGAGCAAAUGUGGUGCCGGUGGAACGAAAGCCUUCGGAGGAGUUAGCGAAAUUCCAAUGUGUGCGGAUCGGCAAAAAAUGCGAAAUAACCCUUUAACCGUAAUUUUGACAGAUACGGCCGCACUGACUUUUUUGUAGAUCUUAUUGAGAUACAUAUGUGUGUCAAUUUUUGUGUCAAUAUGACAAAGCGUACAGGCGUGACAGUCAAUAGUGUGAAUUUCCACCUUAGGGGGCGCUAUGGAGCCAUUUUGCAUUUUAUUGUUUGGGCGACUUCAGAAUAUCGAAUUUUUCACCAGGCCCGGUCGUCCUGCCAAAUUUCAUGAGUUUUCGCCAGUGGGAAGUGGGCCAUUUUCCAGUUCAAAGGGGAGGAAAAAGAAGAAACUAGGGCCCCGUUGGGGCACUGGCGGGCCCGAGCCGUGUCGCGCCGCCCCCAACACGACCGCCUCUCCCUACCGAUCGCGUCACACUCAAGGUCCAAAGAUGGUGUGCGCACUUGUCUGUGGUCAUUUACAAUUAUAAUGAAUGGGAGGCGCAGUUUCUACCAAAACGCUCGCCGCAGACAAACUACAUGUCCUAUUUGAAAAGGACUGGACCAUGAGUGAGGGCACAAACACAGCUAGGAUAUAUCCAAAUGGCAAGUUGCUCCUCCUUUCGGUUUUGCCGAGAGAGCGAUGUGUUUGAGUCAUUGAGCGAUGGGCAGGAAAAACUUGACUUUUUCUCCUGCCAUGGGGGGGCGCUCUUUUAGGGAGUAAAAAUUCCUUCACAAAUGUGUUGAUGGCUAGACAUUGCAUCAUCCUAGAAAACUUGGAGGCCAGUGAGGACAAAAAUAAAAAGUUAUAAGACUUUUAAGAAUGUGGAUUUUUGGGUUAUAUUUGGCGCCCCCUAGAACAUAAACUGUGGGGUGCAGCGUCAUGAUUUUUACAACUUUGAAUGGCCAUGGAAUGUAGAUUGGCCUGAGUAAAUUUGGUGUCAGUGGAACGAAAUAUUUAGGAGGAGUUAGCCACAUUCCAAUGUGUGCGAAUCGACCAAAAAUGCGAAAUAGCCCUUUAACCGUACAUUUUACAGAUACGCGCCCAUUGACUAUUUCGUAGAUCUUAUUGAGAAACACGUGAUUGUCAAAGUUUGUUACAAUAUGACAAAGCGUACAGGCGUGACACUCAAUAAUGUGAAUUUUCACCUUAGGGGGAAGAAAAACUGGACUUUUUUCUCCUGCCAUGGGGGGGCGCUCUUUUGGGGAGUAAAAAUUCCUUCACAAAUGUGUUGAUGGCUAGACAUUGCAUCAUCCUAGAAAACUUGGAGGCCAGUGAGGACAAAAAUAAAAAGUUAUACGACUUUUAAGAAUGUGGAUUUCUGGGUUAUCUUUGGCGCCCCCUAGAACGUAAACCGUGGGAUGCAGCGUCAUGAUUUGUACAACUUUUAAUGGCCAUGGGGUGUAGAUUGGCCUGAGCAAAUUUGGUGCCGGUGGAACGAAAGCCUUCGGAGGAGUUAGCGAAAUUCCAAUGUGUGCGGAUCGGCAAAAAAUGCGAAAUAGCCCUUUAACCGUACAUUUGACAGAUACGCCCGCACUGACUUUUUUGUAGAUCUUAUUGAGAUACACGUGUGUGUCAAAUUUUGUGUCAUUUUGACAAAGCGUACAGGCGUGACACUCAAUCAUGUGAAUUUUUCACCUUAGGGGGCGCUAUGGAGCCAUUUUGCAUUUGAUUUUUUGGGCGACUUCAGAAUAUCGAAUUUUUCACCAGGCCCGGUCGUCCUGCCAAAUUUCAUGACUUUUCACCAGUGGGAAGUGGGCCAUUUUCCAGUUCAAAGGGGCAGAAAAAUAAUAAGAAGAAGAAGAAGAAAGAAGAAUCCAUCAGGAAUAAUAGGGCUCUCGCAGCUGCUUAGCAGCUACGCUCGGGCCCUAAGAAAGAAAGAAAGAAAGAAACAAAGAAAAACCACUUGGGGAAUAAUAGGGCCUACGCCCGGCUGCUCUGCAGCUGGCUCGGGCCCUAAAGAAAGAAAGAAACAAAGAAAAACCACUUGGGGAAUAAUAGGGCCUACGCCCGGCUGCUCUGCAGCUGGCUCGGGCCCUAAUAACAAAAGAAGGAAACAUGCAGGAACAAGAGGGCUCUCGCAGCUGCUUAGCAGCUACGCUCGGGCCCUAAAAAACCCCUUGGGGAAUAAUAGGGCUCUCGCAGCUGCUUAGCAGCUACGCUCGGGCCCUAAAAAGAAAGAAAGAAACAAAGAAAAACCACUUGGGGAAUAAUAGGGCCUACGCCCGGCUGCUCUGCAGCUGGCUCGGGCCCUAAAAAACCACUUGGGGAAUAAUAGGGCCUACGCCCGGCUGCUCUGCAGCUGGCUCGGGCCCUAAAAAGAAAGAAAGAAACAAAGAAAAACCACUUGGGGAAUAAUAGGGCCUACGCCCGGCUGCUCUGCAGCUGGCUCGGGCCCUAAAAAGAAACAAAGAAAAACCACUUGGGGAAUAAUAGGGCUCUCGCAGCUGCUUAGCAGCUACGCUCGGGCCCUAAUAACAAAAGAAGGAAACUACAGGAACAAGAGGGCUCUCGCAGCUGCUUAGCAGCUACGCUCGGGCCCUAAAAAACCACUUGGGGAAUAAUAGGGCCUACGCCCGGCUGCUCAGCAGCUGGCUCGGGCCCUAACUAGGACCCCGUUGGGGCACUGGCGGGCCCGAGCCGUGUCGCGUCCCCCCCCCCAACGUGCUGCCUCCCCGUCCCAUUUGUGUCCUCUGGCCAUCGCCCUCUCUGGUAACGCCCAUCACUGCAAAGACCCUUUUCCUUCAUCGGCGUUUGCUGUUCUUCCUGCCAGUGCGUGUUGCUAAAACCAGACUCUAAGUGUGUGUGUGUGUGUGUGUGUGUGUGUGUGUGUGUGUGUGUGUGUGUGUGUGCGUGUGUGUGUGUCUGUGUGUGCGUUCAAGUCACAUGACAUAUUUAACCGGAUGUAGCUGCAAGAUGGAGCCUCGUUGACUCUCCGUUUCAACUUAUCUCAAAAGUGACGACCUCAACCUAUAUACCAGUUUUUAAAUUGUGUUGAUAGGCCAAAUAAAACCAGAGUUAUGAUAAAUUAUGUCCGCGAUACUUUUUUUCUGCUUAUUUUGAUCACGUUCGGCGCUCGAUCGCGCUGUAUGAGACAGGAAAACAUAGCAUGCAGACAUUAGCGACAGGUCUUACAGGCGGAAAAGGCUUGCCAAAAGAAAAAAAAAACACACCACAACAUCUCUCCUAUUGGUGGAAAACUUCACCACAACAACCAAUCCAAAAUUAUAUGGUGACUGAUUGACAAGGGGCGGGCGCUUACGUUCUUCCUGCAACAUGAGAAGGGAGGGAGGGACUCUCAGCAGGGAUGCAGUCUGGGACACGUAGUUGCAAACCUAGCGACUUUGUUGUUAGAUUCAAUGACUUUUCAGACCCCCUAACGACUUUUUUUUAGAAAGAAAGGGACUUUUAUCGACUUCUUCUGGAGUUUAGAGACUCUGACAUGAAGCAGGCUUUCCUUACUGAGGCGUUAGCAACGCUGCUAAGGGUGCAGAGCCACACAUGCGCUCAGAGCUCUGCAUGGGAGACUGAAGCUGACAGAGCUGCAGCAGUUGGCAGGUUUCACCCUCAGAGACCACCAGGGGUUCAUGUUGAGGCAUUUUAAUUUUUUUUUUUUUUGUGCCAUAGACACUGUCAGGACAAUCUGCAGUUACACUAACAAAAAUGCUGCAAAAAACAAAGAAUUAUGGAAAAAUUACACAUGGACUGACAUAGAGGAGGAUCUACACAAGUUUUUUACAUCAUGUUUUACAUCAUGCAUCAUUUACAUCAUGUUUUUUUGUAGUGGCAUAAAUAAAAAGUGACAUUUGUGAGACUAUACAGUGUUUUGUAAAUAAUUUUACAAAGAACACCUGGGCCAUUGCCUGCAUUUUGAUGUAAAUAGAGGUAAAUUACUAUGUUCUUUGUUAAAAAUUUGCAUAUGUUUUGAAGUUUACAAUUUUUAUUUGAAGUUUAAGUUUUAAAAACAGUUCAUCACACAUAUUUGUGGUUUUCACAGUAAAAACGUUACUUUUUUCCACUCGGAUUUUAUGUUUUGUGUGUGAAUUUGGGUCCAAUGUGUAAAUAUAGUAUGUCAAAAUGAUAAAAUAACUGUAAAUUGACACAGGUGAGGUUGUGCUGAAAAAAAUGAUACCAGGCAAGGCAAGGUAAAAAUUUUGUAAGAGGAAAUAUAAAGGUAAAAUCUAAAGUAGUCAAAAACGGCCAAUAGUGACUCACAAACUCCACAGACAAGUCCCUUUGGCGCCACUCAGUGGGCAAAACUACUUUGUCUACUGUAAUGUAUAUUUGGGUCAUCUUUGGCGCCCCCUAAAACGUAAACCGUGGGGUGCAGCGUCAUGAUUUUUACAACUUUGAAUGGCCAUGGAGUGUAGAUUGGCCUGAGCAAAUUUGGUGUCAGUGGGACGAAAGCCUUAGGAGGAGUUAGCGAAAUUCCAAUGUGUGCGAAUCGGCAAAAAAUGCAAAAUAGCCCUUUUACCGUACAUUAUACAGAUACGCGCUCUUUGACUUUUUCGUAGAUCUAAUUGAGAUACACAUGAUUGUCAAUUUUUGUGUCAUUUUGCCAAAGCGUACAGGCGUGACAGUCAACAAUGUGUAUUUUCACCUUAGGGGACAAGAAAAAAUGGACUUUUUUCUCCUGCCAUGGGGGGCGCUCUUUUAGGGAGUAAAAAUUCCUUCACAAAUGUGUUGAUGGCUGGACAUUGCAUCAUCCUAGAAAACUUGGAGGCCAGUGAGGGCAAAAAUAAAAAGUUAUAAGACUUUGAAAUAUGUGGAUUUUAGGGUUAUCUUUGGCGCCCCCUAGAACCUAAACCGUGGGGUGCAGCGUCAUGAUUUGAAUAACUUUUAAUGGCCAUGGGGUGUAGAUUGGCCUGAGCAAAUGUGGUGCCGGUGGAACGAAAGCCUUCGGAGGAGUUAGCGAAAUUCCAAUGUGUGCGGAUCGGCAAAAAAUGCGAAAUAACCCUUUAACCGUACAUUUGACAGAUACGCCCGCACUGACUUUUUUGUAGAUCUUAUUGAAAUACAUGUGUGUGUCAAUUUUUGUGUCAUUUUGACAAAGCGUACAGGCGUGACAGUCAAUAGUGUGAAUUUUCACCUUAGGGGGCGCUAUGGAGCCAUUUUGCAUUUUCUUGUUUGGGCGACUUCGGAAUAUCAAAUUUUUCACCAGGCCCGGUCGUCCUGCCAAAUUUCAUGAGUUUUCGCCAGUGGGAAGUGGGCCAUUUUCCAGUUCAAAGGGGAGGAAAAAGAAACUAGGGCCCCGUUGGGGCACUGGCGGGCCCGAGCCGCGUUGCGCCGCCCCCAGUGCGACCGCCUCCCCCUCCCGAUCAUGUCACACUCAAGGUCCAAAGAUGGUGUGCGCACUUGUCUGUGGUCAUUUCCCAUUAUAAUGAAUGGGAGGCGCAGUUUCUACCAAAACACUCGCUGCAGACAAACUACAUGUCCUAUUUGAAAAAAGUCUGGACCAUGAGUGAGGGCACAAACACAUCUAGGAUAUAUCCAAACGGCAAGUUGCUCCUCGUUACGGUGUUGCCGGGAGAGCGAUGCGAUUGAGCCAUUGAGUGAUGGGCAGGAAAAACUUGACUGUUUCUCCUGCCAUGGGGGAUGGGGGAUGGGGGAUGGGGGAUGAGGGGGGGGGGGGGGUGUGGAUUCUUUUAAGAAUGUGGAUAUUUGGGUCAUCUUUGGCGCCCCCUAGAACGUAAACCGUGGGGUGCAGCGUCAUGAUUUUUAAAACUUUGAAUGGCCAUGGGGUGUAGAUUGGCCUGAGCAAAUUUGGUGUCAGUGGGACGAAAGCCUUAGGAGGAGUUAGCCACAUUCCAAUGUGUGCUAAUCGGCAAAAAAUGCAAAAUAGCCCUUUAACCGUACAUUUUACAGAUACGCGCGCAUUGACUUUUUCGUAGAUCUUAUUGAGAUACAUGUGUGUGUCAAAUUUUGUGUCAAUAUGACAAAGCAUACAGGUAUGACAGUCAACAAUGUGUAUUUUCACCUUAUGGGACAAGAAAAAAUGGACUUUUUUCUCCUGCCAUGGGGGGGCGCUCUUUUGGGGAGUAAAAAUUCCUUCACAAAUGUGUUGAUGGCUGGACAUUGCAUCAUCCUAGAAAACUUGGAGGCCAGAGAGGACAAAAAUAAAAAGUUAUAAGACUUUUAAAUAUGUGGGUUUUAGGGUUAUCUUUGGCGCCCCCUAGAACCUAAACCGUGGGGUGCAGCGUCAUGAUUUGAAUAACUUUUAAUGGCCAUGGGGUGUAGAUUGGCCUGAGCAAAUGUGGUGCCGGUGGAACGAAAGCCUUCGGAGGAGUUAGCGAAAUUCCAAUGUGUGCGGAUCGGCAAAAAAUGCGCAAUAACCCUUUAACCGUACAUUUGACAGAUACGCCCGCACUGACUUUUUUGUAGAUCUUAUUGAGAUACAUGUGUGUGUCAAUUUUUGUGUAAUUUUGACAAAGCGUACAGGCGUGACAGUCAAUAGUGUGAAUUUUCACCUUAUGGGACAAGAAAAAAUGGACUUUUUUCUCCUGCCAUGGGGGGGCGCUCUUUUGGGGAGUAAAAAUUCCUUCACAAAUGUGUUGAUGGCUGGACAUUGCAUCAUCCUAGAAAACUUGGAGGCCAGUGAGGGCAAAAAUAAAAAGUUAUAAGACUUUGAAAUAUGUGGAUUUUAGGGUUAUCUUUGGCGCCCCCUAGAACCUAAACCGUGGGGUGCAGCGUCAUGAUUUGAAUAACUUUUAAUGGCCAUUGGGUGUAGAUUGGCCUGAGCAAAUGUGGUGCCGGUGGAACGAAAGCCUUCGGAGGAGUUAGCGAAAUUCCAAUGUGUGCGGAUCGGCAAAAAAUGCGCAAUAACCCUUUAACCGUACAUUUGACAGAUACGCCUGCACUGACUUUUUUGUAGAUCUUAUUGAGAUACAUGUGUGUGUCAAUUUUUGUGUCAUUUUGACAAAGCGUACAGGCGUCAGGUGAAUUUUUCACCUUAGGGGGCGCUAUGGAGCCAUUUUGCAUUGUAUUGUUUGGGCGACUUCAGAAUAUCAAAUUUUUCACCAGGCCCGGUCGUCCUGCCAAAUUUCAUGAGUUUUCGCCAGUGGGAAGUGGGCCAUUUUCCAGUUCAAAGGGGAGGAAAAAGAAACUAGGACCCCGUUGGGGCACUGGCGGGCCCGAGCCGUGUCGCGUCCCCCCCCCCCAACGUGCUGCCUCCCCGUCCCAUUUGUAACCUCUGGCCAUCGCCCUCUCUGGUAACGCCCAUCACUGCAAAGACCCUUUUCCUUCAUCGGCGUUUGCUGUUCUUCCUGCCAGUGCGUGUUGCUUUCACUUACACUUGCCACAGCCAGCCUCGUGAGUGCCUAGCCUAUUGGAUAUCACUGUCACCUACACAGGACAGUCAUUACCUUUCUAUUAAUACUUUGUGUUUUAAUUUCACAUUAAUUUCCAUAUUGUAUAAACGACUGGAAAAAACUUGAGCCCCUGCCCCUGUAUAAUCAUGUGCAUGUCUCUGUUCUAGCUCCAAGGUGAAUCUUCACUGCUCAUGUUCUCCUCAGAAGCACUCACCUCACUCCCCUCAGGUUACUGUACACAUGCACCAACUGCCUGCUUCAGGUUUGGAUGGAGCUUCAUGGUUGUCUUUUGGAGAAAUGACCAGUCAAGUUGUGUUUGAAAUUUGAUUUUUUUCAGGGGCAAAAGGAGCCUCUGCAUUCUUGUCAAAUAUGUAAAUAGCAUAUUUUUGCAGGUGCUAAAAACCAGACUCUGAGUGUGUGUGUGUGUGUGUGUGUGUGUGUGUGUGUGUGUGUGUGCGUGUGUGUGUGUCUAUGUGUGCGUUCAAGUCACAUGACAUAUUUAACCUGAUGUAGCUGCAAGACGGAGCCUCGUUGACUCUCCAUUUCAACUUAUCUCAAAAGUGAGGACCUCAACCUAUAUACCAGUUUUUAAAUUGUGUUGAUAGGCCAAAUAAAACCAGAGUUAUGAUAAAUUAUGUCCGCGAUACUUUUUUUCUGCUUAUUUUGAUCACGUUCGGCGCUCGAUCGCGCUGUAUGAGACAGGAAAACAUAGCAUGCAGACAUUAGCGACAGGUCUUACAGGCGGAAAAGGCUUGCCAAAAGAAAAAAAAAACACACCACAACAUCUCUCCUAUUGGUGGAAAACUUCACCACAACAACCAAUCCAAAAUUAUAUGGUGACUGAUUGACAAGGGGCGGGCGCUUACGUUCUUCCUGCAACAUGAGAAGGGAGGGAGGGACUCUCAGCAGGGAUGCAGUCUGGGACACGUAGUUGCAAACCUAGCGACUUUGUUGUUAGAUUCAAUGACUUUUCAGACCCCCUAACGACUUUUUUUUAGAAAGAAAGGGACUUUUAUCGACCUCUUCUGGAGUUUAGAGACUCUGACAUGAAGCAGGCUUUCCUUACUGAGGAGUUAGCAACGCUGCUAAGGGUGCAGAGCCACACAUGCGCUCAGAGCUCUGCAUGGGAGACUGAAGCUGACAGAGCUGCAGCAGUUAGCAGGUUUCACCCUCAGAGACCACCAGGGGUUCAUGUUGAGGCAUUUUAAUUUUUUUUUUUUUGUGCCAUAGACACUGUCAGCAAAAUCUGCAGUUACACUAACAAAAAUGCUGCAAAAAACAAAGAAUUAUGGAAAAAUUACACAUGGACUGACAUAGAGGAGGAUCUACACAAGUUUUUUACAUCAUGUUUUACAUCAUGCAUCAUUUACAUCAUGUUUUUUUGUAGUGGCAUAAAUAAAAAGUGACAUUUGUGAGACUAUACAGUGUUUUGUAAAUAAUUUUACAAAGAACGCCUUGGCCAUUGCCUGCAUUUUGAUGUAAAUAGAGGUAAAUUACUAUGUUCUUUGUUAAAAAUUUGCAUAUGUUUUGAAGUUUACAAUUUUUAUUUGAAGUUUAAGUUUUAAAAACAGUUCAUCACACAUAUUUGUGGUUUAAUUUCACAUUAAUUUCCAUAUUGUAUAAAUGACUGGAAAAAACUUGAGCCCCUGCCCCUGUAUAAUCAUGUGCACGUCCCUGUUCUAGCUCCAAGGUGAAUCUUCACUGCUCAUGUUCUCCUCAGAAAUAGUCACCUCACUCCCCUCAGGUUACUGUACACAUGCACCAACUAUCUGCUUCAGGUUUGAAAUGGAGCUUCAUGGUUGUCUUUUGGAGAAAUGAACAGUCAAGUUGUGUUUGAAAUUUGAUUUUUUUCAGGGGCAAAAGGAAGCCUCUGCAUUCUUGUCAAAUAUGUAAACAGCAUGUUUUUGCAGGUGCUAAAAAACAGACUCUGAGUGUGUGUGUGUGUCUGUGUGUGUGUGUGUGUGUGUGUGUGUGUGUGUGUGUGUGUGUGUGUGUGUGUGUGUGUGUAUGUUGGCGUGUGUGUAUAUGUGUGUGUAUCCUGCAGUACUCUGUACUCCUGCAGUGGCCAAAAAGACUUUUAAGAAUGUGGAUUUUUGGGUCAUCUUUGGCGCCCCCUAGAACUGCAGUACUCUGUACUCCUGCAGUGGCCAAAAUGACUUUUAAGAAUGUGGAUUUUUGGGUCAUCUUUGGCGCCCCCUAGAACGUAAACCGUGGGGUGCAGCGUCAUGAUUUUUACAACUUUGAAUGGGCAUGGGGUGUAGAUUGCCCUGAGCAAAUUUGGUAUCGGUGGGACGAAAGCCUUAGGAGGAGAUAGCCACAUUCCAAUGUGUGCGAAUCGGCAAAAAAUGCAAAAUAGCCCUUUAACCGUACAUUAUACAGAUACGCGCUCUUUGACUUUUUCGUAGAUCUAAUUGAGAUACACAUGAUUGUCAAUUUUUGUGUCAAUAUGACAAAGCGUUCAGGCGUGACACUCAACAAUGUGUAUUUUUAUGUAAGGGGACAAGAAAAAAUUGACUUUUUUCUCCUACCAUGGGGGGCGCUCUUUUGGGGAGUAAAAAUUCCUUCACAAAUGUGUUGAUGGCUGGACAUUGCAUCAUCCUAGUAAACUUGGAGGCCAGUGAGGACAAAAAUAAAAAGUUAUAAAACAUUUAAGAAUGUGGAUUUUUGGGUUAUUUUUGGCGCCCCCUAGAACCUAAACCAUGGGGUGCAGCAUCAUGAUUUGAAUAACUUUUAAUGGCCAUGGGGUGUAGAUUGGCCUGAGCAAAUGUGGUGCCGGUGGAACGAAAGCCUUCGGAGGAGUUAGCGAAAUUCCAAUGUGUGCGUAUCGGCAAAAAAUGCGGAAUAACCCUUUAACUGUACAUUUGACAGAUACGCGCGCAUGGACUUUUUUGUAGAUCUUAUUGAGUUACAUGUGUGUGUCAAUUUUUGUGUCAUUUUGACAAAGCGUAUAGGCGUGACACUCAACAAUGUGUAUUUUCACCUUAGGGGACAAGAAAAAAUGGACUUUUUUCUCCUGCCAUGGGGGGGCGCUCUUUUGGGGAGUAAAAAUUCCUUCACAAAUGUGUUGAUGGCUGGACAUUGCAUCAUCCUAGAAAACUUGGAGGCCAGUGAGGACAAAAAUAAAAAGUUAUAAGACUUUUAAAUAUGUGGAUUUUAGUGUUAUCUUUGGCGCCCCCUAGAACCUAAACCUUGGGGUGCAGCGUCAUGAUUUUGAUAACUUUUAAUGGCCACGGGGUGUAGAUUGGCCUGAGCAAAUGUGGUGCCGGUGGAACGAAAGCCUUCGGAGGAGUUAGCGAAAUUCCAAUGUGUGCGGAUCUGCAAAAAAUGCGAAAUAACCCUUUAACCGUAAUUUUGACAGAUACGGCCGCACUGACUUUUUUGUAGAUCUUAUUGAGAUACAUAUGUGUGUCAAUUUUUGUGUCAAUAUGACAAAGCGUACAGGCGUGACAGUCAAUAGUGUGAAUUUCCACCUUAGGGGGCGCUAUGGAGCCAUUUUGCAUUUUAUUGUUUGGGCGACUUCAGAAUAUCGAAUUUUUCACCAGGCCCGGUCGUCCUGCCAAAUUUCAUGAGUUUUCGCCAGUGGGAAGUGGGCCAUUUUCCAGUUCAAAGGGGAGGAAAAAGAAGAAAGAAAGAAAGAACUAGGGCCCCGUUGGGGCACUGGCGGGCCCGAGCCGUGUCACGCCGCCCCCAGCACGACCGCCUCCCCCACCCGAUCGCGUCACACUCAAGGUCCAAAGAUGGUGUGCGCACUUGUUUGUGGUCAUUUACCAUUAUAAUGAACGGGAGGCGCAGUUUCUACCAAAACGCUCGCUGCAGAAAAACUCCAUGUCCUAUUUGAAAAAAGUCUGGACCAUGAGUGAGGGCACAAACACAGCUAAGAUAUAUCCAAAUGGCAAGUUGCUCCUCCUUUUGCUUUUGCCGAGAGAGCAGUGCGUUUGAGCCAUUGAAUGAUGAACAGGAAAAACUUGACUUUAUUCUCCUGCCAUGGGGGGGCGCUCUUUUAACGAGAAAAAACUCCUUCACAAAUGUGUUGAUGGCUGGACAUUGCAUCAUCCUAGAAAACUUGGAGGCCAGUGGGGACAAAAAUAAAAAGUUAUAAGACUUUGAAAUAUGUGGAUUUUAGGGUUAUCUUUGGCGCCCCCUAGAACCUAAACCGUGGGGUGCAGCAUCAUGAUUUGAAUAACUUUUAAUGGCCAUGGGGUGUAGAUUGGCCUGAGCAAAUGUGGUGCCGGUGGAACGAAAGCCUUCGGAGGAGUUAGCGAAAUUCCAAUGUGUGCGAAUCUGCAAAAAAUGCGAAAUAACCCUUUAACCGUACAUUUUACAGAUACGUGGCCAUUGACUUUUUCGAAGAUCUUAUUGAAAGACACGUGUAUGUAAAAUUUUGUGUCAAUACGACAAAACAUACAGGCGUAGCACUCAACAAUGUGUAUUUUCACCUUAGUGGACAAGAAAAAAUGGACUUUUUUCUCCUGCCAUGGGGGGCGCUCUUUUGGCGAGUAAAAAUUCCUUCACAAAUGUGUUGAUGGCUGGACAUUGCAUCAUCCUAGAAAACUUGGAGGCCAGUGGGGACAAAAAUAAAAAGUUAUAAGACUUUUAAAUAUGUGGAUUUUAGGGUUAUCUUUGGCGCCCCCUAGAACCUAAACCGUGGGGUGCAGCGUCAUGAUUUGAAUAACUUUUAAUGGCCAUGGGGUGUAGAUUGGCCUGAGAAAAUGUGGUGCCGGUGGAACGAAAGCCUUCAGAGGAGUUAGCGAAAUUCCAAUGUGUGCGGAUCGGCAAAAAAUGCGGAAUAACCCUUUAACCGUACAUUUGACAGAUAUGCGCGCAUUGACUUUUUCGUAGAUCUUAUUGAGAUACAUGUGUGUGUCAAUUUUUGUGUCAUUUUGCCAAAGCGUACAGGUGUUACACUCAACAAUGUGUAUUUUCACCUUAGGGGACAAGAAAAAAUGGACUUUUUUCUCCUGCCAUGGGGGGGCGCUCUUUUGGGGAGUAAAAAUUCCUUCACAAAUGUGUUGAUGGCUGGACAUUGCAUCAUCCUAGAAAACUUGGAGGCCAGUGAGGGCAAAAAUAAAAAGUUAUAAGACUUUUAAAUAUGUGGAUCUUAGGGUUAUCUUUGGCGCCCCCUAGAACUUAAACCGUGGGGUGCAGCGUCAUGAUUUGAAUAACUUUUAAUGGCCAUGGGGUGUAGAUUGGCCUGAGCAAAUGUGGUGCCGGUGGAACGAAAGCCUUCGGAGGAGUUAGCGAAAUUCCAAUGUGUGCGGAUCGGCAAAAAAUGCGAAAUAACCCUUUAACCGUACAUUUGACAGAUACGCCCGCACUGACUUUUUUGUAGAUCUUAUUGAGAUACAUGUGUGUGUCAAUUUUUGUGUCAUUUUGACAAAGCGUACAGGCGUCAGGUGAAUUUUUCACCUUAGGGGGCGCUAUGGAGCCAUUUUGCAUUGUAUUGUUUGGGCGACUUCAGAAUAUCAAAUUUUUCACCAGGCCCGGUCGUCCUGCCAAAUUUCAUGAGUUUUCGCCAGUGGGAAGUGGGCCAUUUUCCAGUUCAAAGGGGAGGAAAAAGAAACUAGGACCCCGUUGGGGCACUGGCGGGCCCGAGCCGUGUCGCGUCCCCCCCCCUAACGUGCUGCCUCCCCGUCCCAUUUGUGUCCUCUGGCCAUCGCCCUCUCUGUUAACGCCCAUCACUGCAAAGACCCUUUUCCUUCAUCGGCGUUUGCUGUUCUUCCUGCCAGUGCGUGUUGCUUUCACUUACACUUGCCACAGCCAGCCUCGUGAGUGCCUAGCCUAUUGGAUAUCACUGUCACCUACACAGGACAGUCAUUACCUUUCUAUUAAUACUUUGUGUUUUAAUUUCACAUUAAUUUCCAUAUUGUAUAAACGACUGGAAAAAACUUGAGCCCCUGCCCCUGUAUAAUCAUGUGCAUGUCUCUGUUCUAGCUCCAAGGUGAAUCUUCACUGCUCAUGUUCUCCUCAGAAGCACUCACCUCACUCCCCUCAGGUUACUGUACACAUGCACCAACUGCCUGCUUCAGGUUUGGAUGGAGCUUCAUGGUUGUCUUUUGGAGAAAUGACCAGUCAAGUUGUGUUUGAAAUUUGAUUUUUUUCAGGGGCAAAAGGAGCCUCUGCAUUCUUGUCAAAUAUGUAAAUAGCAUGUUUUGCAGGUGCUAAAAACCAGACUCUGAGUGUGUGUGUGUGUGUGUGUGUGUGUGUGUGCGUGUGUCUGUGUGUGCGUUCAAGUCACAUGACAUAUUUAACCGGAUGUAGCUGCAAGACGGAGCCUCGUUGACUCUCCGUUUCAACUUAUCUCAAAAGUGAGGACCUCAACCUAUAUACCAGUUUUUAAAUUGUGUUGAUAGGCCAAAUAAAACCAGAGUUAUGAUAAAUUAUGUCCGCGAUACUUUUUUUCUGCUUAUUUUGAUCACGUUCGGCGCUCGAUCGCGCUGUAUGAGACAGGAAAACAUAGCAUGCAGACAUUAGCGACAGGUCUUACAGGCGGAAAAGGCUUGCCAAAAGAAAAAAAAAACACACCACAACAUCUCUCCUAUUGGUGGAAAACUUCACCACAACAACCAAUCCAAAAUUAUAUGGUGACUGAUUGACAAGGGGCGGGCGCUUACGUUCUUCCUGCAACAUGAGAAGGGAGGGAGGGACUCUCAGCAGGGAUGCAGUCUGGGACACGUAGUUGCAAACCUAGCGACUUUGUUGUUAGAUUCAAUGACUUUUCAGACCCCCUAACGACUUUUUUUUAGAAAGAAAGUGACUUUUAUCGACUUCUUCUGGAGUUUAGAGACUCUGACAUGAAGCAGGCUUUCCUUACUGAGGAGUUAGCAAUGCUGCUAAGGGUGCAGAGCCACACAUGCGCUCAGAGCUCUGCAUGGGAGACUGAAGCUGACAGAGCUGCAGCAGUUAGCAGGUUUCACCCUCAGAGACCACCAGGGGUUCAUGUUGAGGCAUUUUAAUUUUUUUUUUUUUUGUGCCAUAGACACUGUCAGCACAAUCUGCAGUUACACUAACAAAAAUGCUGCAAAAAACAAAGAAUUAUGGAAAAAUUACACAUGGACUGACAUAGAGGAGGAUCUACACAAGUUUUUUACAUCAUGUUUUACAUCAUGCAUCAUUUACAUCAUGUUUUUUUGUAGUGGCAUAAAUAAAAAGUGACAUUUGUGAGACUAUACAGUGUUUUGUAAAUAAUUUUACAAAGAACGCCUGGGCCAUUGCCUGCAUUUUGAUGUAAAUAGAGGUAAAUUACUAUGUUCUUUGUUAAAAAUUUGCAUAUGUUUUGAAGUUUACAAUUUUUAUUUGAAGUUUAAGUUUUAAAAACAGUUCAUCACACAUAUUUGUGGUUUAAUUUCACAUUAAUUUCCAUAUUGUAUAAAUGACUGGAAAAAACUUGAGCCCCUGCCCCUGUAUAAUCAUGUGCACGUCCCUGUUCUAGCUCCAAGGUGAAUCUUCACUGCUCAUGUUCUCCUCAGAAAUAGUCACUUCACUCCCCUCAGGUUACUGUACACAUGCACCAACUAUCUGCUUCAGGUUUGAAAUGGAGCUUCAUGGUUGUCUUUUGGAGAAAUGAACAGUCAAGUUGUGUUUGAAAUUUGAUUUUUUUCAGGGGCAAAAGGAAGCCUCUGCAUUCUUGUCAAAUAUGUAAACAGCAUGUUUUUGCAGGUGCUAAAAAACAGAUUCUGAGUGUGUGUGUGUGUCUGUGUGUGUGUGUGUGUGUGUGUAUGUUGGCGUGUGUGUAUAUGUGUGUGUAUCCUGCAGUACUCUGUACUCCUGCAGUGGCCAAAAAGACUUUUAAGAAUGUGGAUUUUUGGGUCAUCUUUGGCGCCCCCUAGAACUGCAGUACUCUGUACUCCUGCAGUGGCCAAAAUGACUUUUAAGAAUGUGGAUUUUUGGGUCAUCUUUGGCGCCCCCUAGAACGUAAACCGUGGGGUGCAGCGUCAUGAUUUUUACAACUUUGAAUGGGCAUGGGGUGUAGAUUGCCCUGAGCAAAUUUGGUAUCGGUGGGACGAAAGCCUUAGGAGGAGAUAGCCACAUUCCAAUGUGUGCGAAUCGGCAAAAAAUGCAAAAUAGCCCUUUAACCGUACAUUAUACAGAUAUGCGCUCUUUGACUUUUUUGUAGAUCUAAUUGAGAUACACAUGAUUGUCAAUUUUUGUGUCAAUAUGACAUAGCGUUCAGGCGUGACACUUAACAAUGUGUAUUUUCAUGUAAGGGGACAAGAAAAAAUUGACUUUUUUCUCCUACCAUGGGGGGGGCGCUCUUUUGGGGAGUAAAAAUUCCUUCACAAAUGUGUUGAUGGCUGGACAUUGCAUCAUCCUAGAAAACUUGGAGGCCAGUGAGGACAAAAAAAAAAAGUUAUAAAACAUUUAAGAAUGUGGAUUUUUGGGUUAUUUUUGGCGCCCCCUAGAACCUAAACCAGGGGGAUGCAGCAUCAUGAUUUGAAUAACUUUUAAUGGCCAUGGGGUGUAGAUUGGCCUGAGCAAAUGUGGUGCCGGUGGAACGAAAGCCUUCGGAGGAGUUAGCGAAAUUCCAAUGUGUGCGUAUCGGCAAAAAAUGCGGAAUAACCCUUUAACCGUACAUUUGACAGAUACGCGCGCAUGGACUUUUUUGUAGAUCUUAUUGAUAUACAUGUGUGUGUCACAUUUUGUGUCAAUAUGACAAAGCGUACAGGCGUGACACUCAACAAUGUGUAUUUUCACCUUAGGGGACAAGAAAAAAUGGACUUUUUUCUCCUGCCAUGGGGGGGCGCUCUUUUGGGGAUUAAAAAUUCCUUCACAAAUGUGUUGAUAGCUGGACAUUGCAUCAUCCUAGAAAACUUGGAGGCCAGUGAGGUCAAAAAUAAAAAGUUAUAAGACUUUUAAAUAUGUGGAUUUUAGGGUUAUCUUUGGCGCCCCCUAGAACCUAAACCGUGGGGUGCAGCGUCAUGAUUUGAAUAACUUUUAAUGGCCAUGGGGUGUAGAUUGGCCUGAGCAAAUGUGGUGCCGGUGGAACGAAAGCCUUCAGAGGAGUUAGCGAAAUUCCAAUGUGUGCGGAUCGGCAAAAAAUGCGGAAUAACCCUUUAACCGUACAUUUGACAGAUACGCCCGCACUGACUUUUUUGUAGAUCUUAUUGAGAUACAUGUGUGUGUCAAUUUUUGUGUCAAUAUGACAAAGCGUAAAGGCGUGACAGUCAAUAGUGUGAAUUUUCACCUUAGGGGGCGCUAUGGAGCCAUUUUGCAUUUUAUUGUUUGGGCGACUUCAGAAUAUUAAAUUUUUCACCAGGCCCGGUCAUCCUGCCAAAUUUCAUGAGUUUUCGCCAGUGGGAAGUGGGCCAUUUUCCAGUUCAAAGGGGAGGAAAAAGAAGAAAGAAAGAAACAAAGAAAAAUCCCUUGGGGAAUAAUAGGGCUCUCGCAGCUGCUUAGCAGCUACGCUCGGGCCCUAACUAGGGCCCCGUUGGGGCACUGGCGGGCCCGAGCCGUGUCGCACCCCCCCCCCCCCAACGCGCUGCCUCCCCGUCCCAUUCGCGUCCUCUGGCCAUCGCCCUCUCUGGUAACGCCCAUCACUGCAAAGACCCUUUUCCUUCAUCGGCGUUUGCUGUUCUUCCUGCCAGUGCGUGUUGCUUUCACUUAUACUUGCCACAGCCAGCCUCGUGAGUGCCUAGCCUAUUGGAUAUCACUGUCACCUACACAGGACAGUCAUACUUUGUUUUUUAAUUUCACAUUAAUUUCCUUAUUGUAUAAACGACUGGAAAAAACUUGAGCCCCUGCCCCUGUAUUAUCAUGUGCACGUCCCUGUUCUAGCUCCAAGGUGAAUCUUCACUGCUCAUGUUCUCCUCAGAAGCAGUCACCUCACUCCCCUCAGGUUACUGUACACAUGCACCAACUGCCUGCUUCAGGUUUGGAUGGAGCUUCAUGGUUGUCUUUUGGAGAAAUGAGCAGUCAAGUUGUGUUUGAAAUUUGAUUUUUUUCAGGGGCAAAAGGAAGCCUCUGCAUUCUUGUCAAAUAUGUAAAUAGCAUGUUUUUGCAGGUGCUAAAAAACAGACUCUGAGUGUGUGUGUGUGUGUGUGCGUGUGUGUGUGUGUGUGUGUGUGUGUGUGUCUGUGUGUGUGUGUGUGUGUGUGUGUAUCCUGCAGUACUCUGAGAAGAAUAAUAAGCAUAUUUCUGAGGUGAAUUUUGAAGAUUCAUCUGAGAGUUAGGUUUGAUUCGAUUCGAUUGACGCUCCCCAGCGUUCAAGUCACAUGACAUAUUUAACCGGAUGUAGCUGCAAGUCGGAGCCUCGUUAACUCUCCGUUUCAACUUAUCUCAAAAGUGAGGACCUCAACCUAUAUACCAGUUUUUAAAUUGUGUUGAUAGGCCAAAUAAAACCAGAGUUAUGAUAAAUUAUGUCCGCGAUACUUUUUUUCUGCUUAUUUUGAUCACGUUCGGCGCUCGAUCGCGCUGUAUGAGACAGGAAAACAUAGCAUGCACACAUUAGCGACAGGUCUUACAGGCGGAAAAGGCUUGCCAAAAGAAGAAAAAAAAACACACCACAACAUCUCUCCUAUUGGUGGAAAACUUCACCACAACAACCAAUCCAAAAUUAUAUGGUGACUGAUUGACAAGGGGCGGGCGCUUACGUUCUUCCUGCAACAUGAGAAGGGAGGGAGGGACUCUCAGCAGGGAUGCAGUCUGGGACACGUAGUUGCAAACCUAGCGACUUUGUUGUUAGAUUCAAUGACUUUUCAGACCCCCUAACGACUUUUUUUUAGAAAGAAAGGGACUUUUAUCGACUUCUUCUGGAGUUUAGAGACUCUGACAUGAAGCAGGCUUUCCUUACUGAGGAGUUAGCAAUGCUGCUAAGGGUGCAGAGCCACACAUGCGCUCAGAGCUCUGCAUGGGAGACUGAAGCUGACAGAGCUGCAGCAGUUAGCAGGUUUCACCCUCAGAGACCACCAGGGGUUCAUGUUGAGGCAUUUUCAGUUUUUGUUUUUUUUGCCAUAGACUGUCAGCACAAUCUGCAGUUACACUAACAAAAAUGCUGCAAAAAACAAAGAAUUAUGGAAAAAUUACACAUGGACUGACAUAGAGGAGGAUCUACACAAGUUUUUUACAUCAUGUUUUACAUCAUGCAUCAUUUACAUCAUGUUUUUUUGUAGUGGCAUAAAUAAAAAGUGACAUUUGUGAGACUAUACAGUGUUUUGUAAAUAAUUUUACAAAGAACGCCUGGGCCAUUGCCUGCAUUUUGAUGUAAAUAGAGGUAAAUUACUAUGUUCUUUGUUAAAAAUUUGCAUAUGUUUUGAAGUUUACAAUUUUUAUUUGAAGUUAAAUUUUUAAAAACAGUUCAUCACACAUAUUUGUGGUUUAAUUUCACAUUAAUUUCCAUAUUGUAUAAAUGACUGGAAAAAACUUGAGCCCCUGCCCCUGUAUAAUCAUGUGCACGUCCCUGUUCUAGCUCCAAGGUGAAUCUUCACUGCUCAUGUUCUCCUCAGAAAUAGUCACCUCACUCCCCUCAGGUUACUGUACACAUGCACCAACUAUCUGCUUCAGGUUUGGAUGGAGCUUCAUGGUUGUCUUUUGGAGAAAUCAACAGUCAAGUUGUGUUUGAAAUCUGAUUUUUUUCAGGGGCAAAAGGAAGCCUCUGCAUUCUUGUCAAAUAUGUAAACAGCAUGUUUUUGCAGGUGCUAAAAAACAGACUCUGAGUGUGUGUGUGUGUGUGUGUGUGUGUGUAUGUGUGUGUAUCCUGCAGUACUCUGUACUCCUGCAGUGGCCAAAAAGACUUUUAAGAAUGUGGAUUUUUGGGUCAUCUUUGGCGCCCCCUAGAAAUGCAGUACUCUGUACUCCUGCAGUGGCCAAAAUGACUUUUAAGAAUGUGGAUUUUUGGGUCAUCUUUGGCGCCCCCUAGAACGUAAACCGUGGGGUGCAGCGUCAUGAUUUUUACAACUUUGAAUGGCCAUGGGGUGUAGAUUGCCCUGAGCAAAUUUGGUAUCGGUGGGACGAAAGCCUUAGGAGGAGAUAGCCACAUUCCAAUGUGUGCGAAUCGGCAAAAAAUGCGAAAUAGCCCUUUAACCGUACAUUAUACAGAUACGCGCUUUUUGACUUUUUCGUAGAUCUAAUUGAGAUACACAUGAUUGUCAAUUUUUGUGUCAAUAUGACAAAGCGUUCAGGCGUGACACUCAACAAUGUGUAUUUUCAUGUAAGGGGACAAGAAAAAAUUGACUUUUUUCUCCUGCCAUGGGGGGGCGCUCUUUUGGGGAGUAAAAAUUCCUUCACAAAUGUGUUGAUGGCUGGACAUUGCAUCAUCCGAGAAAACUUGGAGGGCAGUGAGGACAAAAAUAACUAGGGCCCCGUUGGGGCACUGUCGGGCCCGAGCCGCGUCGCGCCGCCCCCAGCGCGACCGCCUCCCCGUCCCAUUCGUGCCCUCUGGCCAUCGCCCUCUCUGGUGACGCCCAUCACUGCAAAGACCCUUUUCCUUCAUCGGUGUUUGCUGUUCUUCCUGCCAUUGUGUGUUGCUUUCACUUACACUUGCCACAGCCAGCCUCGUGAGUGCCUGGCCUGGUUUGACCUUUGCUCACCAUGAUUGUGUGACCUUGGUAUCAGCUACUUGGGAAGUUCAACCGUUGUGGCAAAGCUUUGUUUGCGUGCUGUGCUCAACCACCUAUUUUCUAUGGAUGUGUAAGUAAACCACUUUCUUUCUUACACAAUGACACACUCAUACUUAUCACUCACUGCUACUGAUGUGCUCUGUUAGUAUGCAUGCAGGAAACCUGAUGAAUGAAGAAAUGCCCAGACUAGCCAACAUCUCAAUAAAUUAUGAGGUAUGACAUCACUUGAAUGGUUUCCUUGGACUAUGCUUCCAUUAUUCUAAUUCUGUAAUAAAAAGAAAUUUUGUCCAAAAGGACUGUUGUUGUUUUUUCUUCUAAUAAUUAACAUAUUUAACAUAAUUAACAUUCAAUAUGCGCUCAUUACACACGUGCACACUCUUUGAUGAUCUGAGAAGCAGAGCUUAAAGGACAGUAGGAGUAGCUGAACAAAGUGUAUUUGUAGGAAAGCCGUAAGAGCUAUUGAAACGCCGUUUUCGCGGGUUGAAAGGUUAGGGUGUCCACCAAAGGUCAGAGGUCAAAUAACAUUUGUAUCUCAAACUGUGACGUCAAAGUCAAGGUCCAAAGAUGGUGUGCGCACCUGUCUUUGGUCAUUUCCCAUUAUAAUGAAUGGGAGGCACAGUUUCUACCAAAACGCUCGCUGCAGACAAACUACAUGUCCUAUUUGAAAAAACUCUGGACCAUGAGUGAGGGCACAAACACAGCUAGGACAUAUCCAAAUGGCAAGUUGCUCCUCCUUUUGGUUUUAGCGGGAGAGCAAUGCGUUUGAGCCAUUAAGCGAUGGGCUGGAAAAACUUGACUUUUUCUCCUGCCAUGGGGGGGGGGGGGCGCUCUUUUGGGGAGAAAAAUUCCUUCACAGAUGUGUUGAUGGCUGCACAUUGCAUCAUCCUAGAAAACUUGGAGGCCAGUGAGGACAAAAAUAAAAAGUUAUAAGACUUUUAAAAAUGUGGAUAUUUGGGUCAUCUUUGGCGCCCCCUAGAACCUAAACCGUGGGGUGCAGCGUCAUGAUUUGUACAACUUUGAAUGGCCAUGGGGUGUAGAUUGGCCUGAGCAAAUUUGGUGUCAGUAGAACGAAAGCCUUAGGAGGAGUUAGCCACAUUCUAAUGUGUGCGAAUCGGCAAAAAAUGCAAGAUAGCCCUUUAACCGUACAUUUUACAGAUAUGUGCCCAUUGACUUUUUCGUAGAUCUUAUUGAGAUACACGUGUGUGUCAAAUUUUGUGUCAAUAUGACAAAGCGUAUAGGCGUGACACUGAACAAUGUGUAUUUUCACCUUAGGGGACAAGAAAAAAUGGCCUUUUUUGUCCUGCCAUGGGGGGGGGGCGCUGUUUUGGGGAGUAAAAAUUCCUUCACAAAUGUGUUGAUGGCUGGACAUUGCAUCAUCCUAGAAAACUUGGAGGCCAAUGAGGACAAAAAUAAAAAGUUAUAAGAUUUUUAAGAAUGUGGAUUUGUGGGUUAUCUUUGGCGCCCCCUAGAACGUAAACCGUGGGGUGCAGCGUCAUGAUUUGUACAACUUUUAAUGGCCAUGGGGUGUAGAUUGGCCUGAGCAAAUGUGGUGCCGGUGGAACGAAUGCCUUCGGAGGAGUUAGCGAAAUUCCAAUGUGUGCAGAUCUGCAAAAAAUGCGAAAUAACCCUCUAACCGUACAUUUCACAGAUGCGCCCGCACUGACUUUUUCGUAGAUCUUAUUGAGAUACACAUGUGUGUCAAAUUUUGUGUCAUUUUGACAAAGCGUACAGGCGUCAGGUGAGUUUUCACCAUAGGGGGCGCUAUGGAGCCAUUUUUCAUUUUUUUGUUUGGGCGACUUCAGAAUAUCGAAUUUUUCACCAGGCCCGGUCGUCCUGCCAAAUUUCCUGAGUUUUCGCCAGUGGGAAGUGGGCCAUUUUCCAGUUUAAAGCGGAGGAAAAAUAACUAGGACCCCGUUGGGGCACUGGCGGGCCCGAGCCGUGUCGCGUCCCCCCCCCCCCCCCCCCAACGUGCUGCCUCCCCGUCCCAUUUGUGUCCUCUGGCCAUCGCCCUCUCUGGUAACGCCCAUCACUGCAAAGACCCUUUUCCUUCAUCUGCGUUUGCUGUUCUUCCUGCCAGUGCGUGUUGCUUUCACUUACACUUGCCACAGCCAGCCUCGUGAGUGCCUAGCCUAUUGGAUAUCACUGUCACCUACACAGGACAGUCAUUACCUUUCUAUUAAUACUUUGUGUUUUAAUUUCACAUUAAUUUCCAUAUUGUAUAAACGACUGGAAAAAACUUGAGCCCCUGCCCCUGUAUAAUCAUGUGCAUGUCUCUGUUCUAGCUCCAAGGUGAAUCUUCACUGCUCAUGUUCUCCUCAGAAGCACUCACCUCACUCCCCUCAGGUUACUGUACACAUGCACCGACUGCCUGCUUCAGGUUUGGAUGGAGCUUCAUGGUUGUCUUUUGGAGAAAUGACCAGUCAAGUUGUGUUUGAAAUUUGAUUUUUUUCAGGGGCAAAAGGAGCCUCUGCAUUCUUGUCAAAUAUGUAAAUAGCAUGUUUUUGCAGGUGCUAAAAACCAGACUCUGAGUGUGUGUGUGUGUGUGUGUGUGUGUGUGUGUGUGUGUGUGUGUGUGUGUGUGUGUGUGUGCGUGUGUGUGUGUCUGUGUGUGCGUUCAAGUCACAUGACAUAUUUAACCGGAUGUAGCUGCAAGACGGAGCCUCGUUGACUCUCCGUUUCAACUUAUCUCAAAAGUGAGGACCUCAACCUAUAUACCAGUUUUUAAAUUGUGUUGAUAGGCCAAAUAAAACCAGAGUUAUGAUAAAUUAUGUCCGCGAUACUUUUUUUCUGCUUAUUUUGAUCACGUUCGGCGCUCGAUCGCGCUGUAUGAGACAGGAAAACAUAGCAUGCAGACAUUAGCGACAGCUCUUACAGGCGGAAAAGGCUUGCCAAAAGAAAAAAAAAACACACCACAACAUCUCUCCUAUUGGUGGAAAACUUCACCACAACAACCAAUCCAAAAUUAUAUGGUGACUGAUUGACAAGGGGGGCGCUUACGUUCUUCCUGCAACAUGAGAAGGGAGGGAGGGACUCUCAGCAGGGAUGCAGUCUGGGACACGUAGUUGCAAACCUAGCGACUUUGUUGUUAGAUUCAAUGACUUUUCAGACCCCCUAACGACUUUUUUUUAGAAAGAAAGGGACUUUUAUCGACUUCUUCUGGAGUUUAGAGACUCUGACAUGAAGCAGGCUUUCCUUACUGAGGAGUUAGCAACGCUGCUAAGGGUGCAGAGCCACACAUGCGCUCAGAGCUCUGCAUGGGAGACUGAAGCUGACAGAGCUGCAGCAGUUAGCAGGUUUCACCCUCAGAGACCACCAGGGGUUCAUGUUGAGGCAUUUUAAUUUUUUUUUUUUUUUUGUGCCAUAGACACUGUCAGCACAAUCUGCAGUUACACUAACAAAAAUGCUGCAAAAAACAAAGAAUUAUGGAAAAAUUACACAUGGACUGACAUAGAGGAGGAUCUACACAAGUUUUUUACAUCAUGUUUUACAUCAUGCAUCAUUUACAUCAUGUUUUUUUGUAGUGGCAUAAAUAAAAAGUGACAUUUGUGAGACUAUACAGUGUUUUGUAAAUAAUUUUACAAAGAACGCCUGGGCCAUUGCCUGCAUUUUGAUGUAAAUAGAGGUAAAUCACUAUGUUCUUUGUUAAAAAUUUGCAUAUGUUUUGAAGUUUACAAUUUUUAUUUGAAGUUUAAGUUUUAAAAACAGUUCAUCACACAUAUUUGUGGUUUUCACAGUAAAAAUGUUACUUUUUUCCACUCGGAUUUUAUGUUUUGUGUGUGAAUUUGGGUCCAUUGUGUAAAUUCAGUAUGUCAACAUGAUAAAAUAACUGUAAAUUCGCACAGGUGAGGUUGUGCUGAAAAAAAUGAUACCAGGCAAGGCACGUGAUUGUCAAAUUUUGUGUCAAUAUGACAAAGCGUAUAGGCGUGAAUCUCAACAAUAUGUAUUUUCACCUUAGAGGACAAGAAAAAAUGGACUUUUUUCUCCUGCCAUGGGGGGGCGCUCUUUUGGGGAGUAAAAAUUCCUUCACAAAUGUGUUGAUGGCUGGACAUUGCAUCAUCCUAGAAAACUUGGAGGCCAGUGAGGACAAAAAUAAAAAGUUAUAAGACUUUUAAAUAUGUGGAUUUUAGGGUUAUCUUUGGCGCCCCCUAGAACCUAAACCGUGGGGUGCAGCGUCAUGAUUUUGAUAACUUUUAAUGGCCAUGGGGUGUAGAUUGGCCUGAGCAAAUGUGGUGCCGGUGGAACGAAAGCCUUAGGAGGAGUUAGCGAAAUUCCAAUGUGUGCGGAUCGGCAAAAAAUGCGGAAUAACCCUUUAACCGUACAUUUGACAGAUACGCGCGCAUUGACUUUUUCGUAGAUCUUAUUGAGUUACAUGUGUGUGUCAAUUUUUGUGUCAUUUUGACAAAGCGUAUAGGCGUGACACUCAACAAUGUGUAUUUUCACCUUAGGGGACAAGAAAAAAUGGACUUUUUUCUCCUGCCAUGGGGGGGCGCUCUUUUGGGGAGUAGAAAUUCCUUCACAAAUGUGUUGAUGGCUGGACAUUGCAUCAUCCUAGAAAACUUGGAGGCCAGUGAGGACAAAAAUAAAAAGUUAUAAGACUUUUAAAUAUGUGGAUUUUAGUGUUAUCUUUGGCGCCCCCUAGAACCUAAACCUUGGGGUGCAGCGUCAUGAUUUUGAUAACUUUUAAUGGCCACGGGGUGUAGAUUGGCCUGAGCAAAUGUGGUGCCGGUGGAACGAAAGCCUUCGGAGGAGUUAGCGAAAUUCCAAUGUGUGCGGAUCGGCAAAAAAUGCGAAAUAACCCUUUAACCGUAAUUUUGACAGAUACGGCCGCACUGACUUUUUUGUAGAUCUUAUUGAGAUACAUAUGUGUGUCAAUUUUUGUGUCAAUAUGACAAAGCGUACAGGCGUGACAGUCAAUAGUGUGAAUUUUCACCUUAGGGGGCGCUAUGGAGCCAUUUUGCAUUUUAUUGUUUGGGCGACUUCAGAAUAUCAAAUUUUUCACCAGGCCCGGUCGUCCUGCCAAAUUUCAUGAGUUUUCGCCAGUGGGAAGUGGGCCAUUUUCCAGUUCAAAGGGGAGGAAAAAGAAAAAAAUAUGUGGAUUUUAGGGUUAUCUUUGGCGCCCCCUAGAACCUAAACCGUGGGGUGCAGCGUCAUGAUUUUGAUAACUUUUAAUGGCCAUGGGGUGUAGAUUGGCCUGAGCAAAUGUGGUGCCGGUGGAACGAAAGCCUUAGGAGGAGUUAGCGAAAUUCCAAUGUGUGCGGAUCGGCAAAAAAUGCGGAAUAACCCUUUAACCGUACAUUUGACAGAUACGCGCGCAUUGACUUUUUCGUAGAUCUUAUUGAGUUACAUGUGUGUGUCAAUUUUUGUGUCAUUUUGACAAAGCGUAUAGGCGUGACACUCAACAAUGUGUAUUUUCACCUUAGGGGACAAGAAAAAAUGGACUUUUUUCUCCUGCCAUGGGGGGGCGCUCUUUUGGGGAGUAGAAAUUCCUUCACAAAUGUGUUGAUGGCUGGACAUUGCAUCAUCCUAGAAAACUUGGAGGCCAGUGAGGACAAAAAUAAAAAGUUAUAAGACUUUUAAAUAUGUGGAUUUUAGUGUUAUCUUUGGCGCCCCCUAGAACCUAAACCUUGGGGUGCAGCGUCAUGAUUUUGAUAACUUUUAAUGGCCACGGGGUGUAGAUUGGCCUGAGCAAAUGUGGUGCCGGUGGAACGAAAGCCUUCGGAGGAGUUAGCGAAAUUCCAAUGUGUGCGGAUCGGCAAAAAAUGCGAAAUAACCCUUUAACCGUAAUUUUGACAGAUACGGCCGCACUGACUUUUUUGUAGAUCUUAUUGAGAUACAUAGGUGUGUCAAUUUUUGUGUCAAUAUGACAAAGCGUACAGGCGUGACAGUCAAUAGUGUGAAUUUUCACCUUAGGGGGCGCUAUGGAGCCAUUUUGCAUUUUAUUGUUUGGGCGACUUCAGAAUAUCAAAUUUUUCACCAGGCCCGGUCGUCCUGCCAAAUUUCAUGAGUUUUCGCCAGUGGGAAGUGGGCCAUUUUCCAGUUCAAAGGGGAGGAAAAAGAAAAAAGAAAGAAAGAAACAAAGAAAAACCACUUGGGGAAUAAUAGGGCCUACGCCCGGCUGCUCUGCAGCUGGCUCGGGCCCUAACGAAAGAAGAAUCCAUCAGGAACAAGAGGGCUCUCGCAGCUGCUUAGCAGCUACGCUCGGGCCCUAACAAACUAGGGCCCCGUUGGGGCACUGGCGGGCAUGAGCCGCGUUGCGCCGCCCCCAGUGCGACCGCCUCCCCCUCCCGAUCGCGUCACACUCAAGGUCCAAAGAUGGUGUGCGCACUUGUCUGUGGUCAUUUCCCAUUAUAAUGAAUGGGAGGCGCAGUUUCUACCAAAACACUCGCUGCAGACAAACUACAUGUCCUAUUUGAAAAAAGUCUGGACCAUGAGUGAGGGCACAAACACAGCUAGGAUAUAUCCAAACGGCAAGUUGCUCCUCGUUACGGUGUUGCCGGGAGAGCGAUGCGAUUGAGCCAUUGAGUGAUGGGCAGGAAAAACUUGACUGUUUCUCCUGCCAUGGGGGAUGGGGGAUGGGGGGGGGGGGGGGGGGGGGGGGGAUGUGGAUUCUUUUAAGAAUGUGGAUAUUUGGGUCCUCUUUGGCGCCCCCUAGAACGUAAACCGUGGGGUGAAGCGUCAUGAUUUUUAAAACUUUGAAUGGCCAUGGGGUGUAGAUUGGCCUGAGCAAAUUUGGUGUCAGUGGGACGAAAGCCUUAGGAGGUGUUAGCCACAUUCCAAUGUGUGCUAAUCGGCAAAAAAUGCAAAAUAGCCCUUUAACCGUACAUUUUACAGAUACGCGCGCAUUGACUUUUUCGUAGAUCUUAUUGAGAUACAUGUGUGUGUCAAAUUUUGUGUCAAUAUGACAAAGCAUACAGGUAUGACAGUCAACAAUGUGUAUUUUCACCUUAUGGGACAAGAAAAAAUGGACUUUUUUCUCCUGCCAUGGGGGGGCGCUCUUUUGGGGAGUAAAAAUUCCUUCACAAAUGUGUUGAUGGCUGGACAUUGCAUCAUCCUAGAAAACUUGGAGGCCAGAGAGGACAAAAAUAAAAAGUUAUAAGACUUUUAAAUAUGUGGAUUUUAGGGUUAUCUUUGGCGCCCCCUAGAACCUAAACCGUGGGGUGCAGCGUCAUGAUUUGAAUAACUUUUAAUGGCCAUGGGGUGUAGAUUGGCCUGAGCAAAUGUGGUGCCGGUGGAACGAAAGCCUUCGGAGGAGUUAGCGAAAUUCCAAUGUGUGCGGAUCGCCAAAAAAUGCGCAAUAACCCUUUAACCGUACAUUUGACAGAUACGCCAGCACUGACUUUUUUGUAGAUCUUAUUGAGAUACAUGUGUGUGUCAAUUUUUGUGUAAUUUUGACAAAGCGUACAGGCGUGACAGUCAAUAGUGUGAAUUUUCACCUUAUGGGACAAGAAAAAAUGGACUUUUUUCUCCUGCCAUGGGGGGCGCUCUUUUGGGGAGUAAAAAUUCCUUCACAAAUGUGUUGAUGGCUGGACAUUGCAUCAUCCUAGAGAACUUGGAGGCCAGUGAGGGCAAAAAUAAAAAGUUAUAAGACUUUGAAAUAUGUGGAUUUUAGGGUUAUCUUUGGCGCCCCCUAGAACCUAAACCGUGGGGUGCAGUGUCAUGAUUUGAAUAACUUUUAAUGGCCAUGGGGUGUAGAUUGGCCUGAGCAAAUGUGGUGCCGGUGGAACGAAAGCCUUCGGAGGAGUUAGCGAAAUUCCAAUGUGUGCGGAUCGGCAAAAAAUGCGAAAUAACCCUUUAACCGUACAUUUGACAGAUACGCCCGCACUGACUUUUUUGUAGAUCUUAUUGAGAUACAUGUGUGUGUCAAUUUUUGUGUCAUUUUGACAAAGCGUACCGGCGUGACAGUGAAUAGUGUGAAUUUUCACCUUAGGGGGCGCUAUGGAGCCAUUUUGCAUUUUCUUGUUUGGGCGACUUCGGAAUAUCAAAUUUUUCACCAGGCCCGGUCGUCCUGCCAAAUUUCAUGAGUUUUCGCCAGUGGGAAGUGGGCCAUUUUCCAGUUCAAAGGGGAGGAAAAAUAAUAAUAAUACUAGGGCCCCGUUGGGGCACUGGCGGGCCCGAGCUGUGUCACGCCGCCCCCAACACGACCGCCUCUCCCUCCCGAUCGCGUCACACUCAAGGUUCAACGAUUGUGUGCGCACUUGUCUGUGGUCAUUUACCAUUAUAAUGAAUGGGAGGCGCAGUUUCUACCAAAACGCUUGCUGCAGACAAACUACAUGUCCUAUUUGAAAAAAGUCUGGACCAUGAGUGAGGGCACAAACACAGCUAGGAUAUAUCCAAAUGGCAAGUUCCUCCUCCUUUCGUUUUUUUCCGAGAGAGCGAUGUGUUUGAGCCAUUGAGCGAUGGGCAGGAAAAACUUGACUUUUUCUCCUGCCAUGGGGGGGCACUCUUUUAGGGAGAAAAAUUCCUUCACAAAUGUGUUGAUGGCUAGACAUUGCAUCAUCCUAGAAAACUUUGAAGCCAGUGAGGACAAAAAUGAAAAGUUAUAAGACUUUUAAGAAUGUGGAUUUUUGGGUUAUCUUUGGCGACCCCUAGAACGUAAACCGUGGGGUGCAGCAUCAUGAUUUGUACAACUUUUAAUGGCCAUGGGGUGUAGAUUGGCCUGAGCAAAUUUGGUGCCGGUGGAACGAAAGCUUUAGGAGGAGUUAGCCACAUUCCAAUGUGUGCGAAUCAACCAAAAAUGCGAAAUAGCCCUUUAACCGUACAUUUUGCAGACACGUGCGCGUUGACUUUUUCGUAGAUCUUAUUGAGAUACACGUGAUUAUCAAAUUUUGUUUCAAUAUGACAAAGCGUACAGGCGUGACACUCAACAAUGUGUAUUUUCACCUUAUAGGACAAGAAAAAAUGGACUUUUUUCUCCUGCCAUGGGGGGGCGCUCUUUUGGGGAGUAAAAAUUCCUUCACAAAUGUGUUGAUGGCUGGACAUUGCAUCAUCCUAGAAAACUUGGAGGCCAGUGAUGACAGAAAUAAAAAGUUAUAAGACUUGUAAGAAUGUGGAUUUUUGGGUUAUCUUUGGCGCCCCGUACAACGUAAACCGUGGGGUGCAGCGUCAUGAUUUGUACAACUUUGAAUGGCCAUGGGGGUUAGAUUGGCCUGAGCAAAUUUGGUGCCGGUGGAACGAAAGCCUUCGGAGGAGUUAGCGAAAUUCCAAUGUGUGCGGAUCGGCAAAAAAUGCGAAAUAGCCCUUUAAACGUACAUUUGACAGAUACGCCCGCACUGACUUUUUUGUAGAUCUUAUUGAGAUACACGUGUGUGUCAAAUUUUGUGUCAUUUUGACAAAGCGUACAGGCGUGACACUCAAUCAUGUGAAUUUUUCACCUUAGGGGGCGCUAUGGAGCCAUUUUGCAUUUGAUUGUUUGGGUGACUUCAGAAUAUCGAAUUUUUCACCAGGCCCGGUCGUCCUGCCGAAUUUCAUGAGUUUUCACCAGUGGGAAGUGGGCCAUUUUCCAGUUCAAAGGGGCAGAAAAAUAAUAAGAAGAAGAAGAAGAAAGAAGAAUCCAUCAGGAAUAAUAGGGCUCUCGCAGCUGCUUAGCAGCUACGCUCGGGCCCUAAAAAGUUAUAAGACUUUUAAAUAUUUGGAUUUUAGGGUUAUCUUUGGCGCCCCCUAGAACCUAAACCGUGGGGUGCAGCGUCAUGAUUUUUACAACUUUUAAUGGCCAUGGGGUGUAGAUUGGCCUGAGCAAAUUUGGUGCCGGUGGAACGAAAGCCUUCGGAGGAGUUAGCGAAAUUCCAAUGUGUGCGGAUCGGCAAAAAAUGCGAAAUAAACCUUUAACCGUACAUUAUACAGAUACGCGCUCUUUGACUUUUUCGUAGAUCUUAUUGAGAUACACGUGUGUGUCAAUUUUUGUGUCAAUAUGACAAAGCGUUUAGGCGUGACACUCAACAAUGUGUAUUUUCAUGUUAGGGGACAAGAAAAACUUGACUUUUUUCUCCUGCCAUGGGGGGGCGCUCUUUUGGGGAGUAAAAAUUCCUUCACACAUGUGUUGAUGGCUGGACAUAGCAUCAUCCUAGAAAACUUGGAGGCCAGUGAGGACAAAAAUAAAAAGUUAUAAGACUUUUAAGAAUGUGGAUUUUUGGGUUAUCUUUGGCGCCCCCUAGAACAUAAACCGUGGGGUGCAGCGUCAUGAUUUGUACAACUUUUAAUGGCCAUGGGGUGUAGAUUGGCCUGAGCAAAUUUGGUGCCGGUGGAACGAAAGCCUUCGGAGGAGUUAGCGAAAUUCCAAUGUGUGCGGAUCGGCAAAAAAUGCGAAAUAGCCCUUUAACCGUACAUUUGACAGAUACGCCCGCACUGACUUUUUUGUAGAUCUUAUUGAGAUACACAUGUGUGUCAAAUUUUGUGUCAUUUUGACAAAGCGUACAGGCGUCAGGUGAGUUUUCACCAUAGGGGGCGCUAUGGAGCCAUUUUUCAUUUUUUUGUUUGGGCGACUUCAGAAUAUCAAAUUUUUCACCAGGCCCGGUCGUCCUGCCAAAUAUCCUGAGUUUUCGCCAGUGGGAAGUGGGCCAUUUUCCAGUUUAAAGCGGAGGAAAAAUAACGAAAGAAGAAUCCAUCAGGAACAAGAGGGCUCUCGCAGCUGCUUAGCAGCUACGCUCGGGCCCUAAAAAGAAACAAAGAAAAACCACUUGGGGAAUAAUAGGGCUCUCGCAGCUGCUUAGCAGCUACGCUCGGGCCCUAACUAGGACCCCGUGGGGGCACGGGCGGGCCCGAGCCGUGUCGCCCCCCCCCCCCCCCCCCAACGUGCUUCCUUCCCGUCCCAUUUGUGUCCUCUGGCCAUUGCCCUCUCUGGUAACGCCCAUCACUGCAAAGACCCUUUUCCUUCAUCGGCGUUUGCUGUUCUUCCUGCCAGUGCGUGUUGCUUUCACUUACACUUGCCACAGCCAGCCUCGUGAGUGCCUAGCCUAUUGGAUAUCACUGUCACCUACACAGGACAGUCAUUACCUUUCUAUUAAUACUUUGUGUUUUAAUUUCACAUUAAUUUCCAUAUUGUAUAAACGACUGGAAAAAACUUGAGCCCCUGCCCCUGUAUAAUCAUGUGCAUGUCUCUGUUCUAGCUCCAAGGUGAAUCUUCACUGCUCAUGUUCUCCUCAGAAGCACUCACCUCACUCCCCUCAGGUUACUGUACACAUGCACCAACUGCCUGCUUCAGGUUUGGAUGGAGCUUCAUGGUUGUCUUUUGGAGAAAUGACCAGUCAAGUUGUGUUUGAAAUUUGAUUUUUUUCAGGGGCAAAAGGAGCCUCUGCAUUCUUGUCAAAUAUGUAAAUAGCAUGUUUUUGCAGGUGCUAAAAACCAGAAUCUGAGUGUGUGUGUGUGUGUGUGUGCGUGUGUGUGUGUCUGUGUGUGCGUUCAAGUCACAUGACAUAUUUAACCGGAUGUAGCUGCAAGACGGAGCCUCGUUGACUCUCCGUUUCAACUUAUCUCAAAAGUGAGGACCUCAACCUAUAUACCAGUUUUUAAAUUGUGAUGAUAGGCCAAAUAAAACCAGAGUUAUGAUAAAUUAUGUCCGCGAUACUUUUUUUCUGCUUAUUUUGAUCACGUUCGGCGCUCGAUCGCGCUGUAUGAGACAGGAAAACAUAGCAUGCAGACAUUAGCGACAGGUCUUACAGGCGGAAAAGGCUUGCCAAAAGAAAAAAAAAACACACCACAACAUCUCUCCUAUUGGUGGAAAACUUCACCACAACAACCAAUCCAAAAUUAUAUGGUGACUGAUUGACAAGGGGCGGGCGCUUACGUUCUUCCUGCAACAUGAGAAGGGAGGGAGGGACUCUCAGCAGGGAUGCAGUCUGGGACACGUAGUUGCAAACCUAGCGACUUUGUUGUUAGAUUCAAUGACUUUUCAGACCCCCUAACGACUUUUUUUUAGAAAGAAAGGGACUUUUAUCGACUUCUUCUGGAGUUUAGAGACUCUGACAUGAAGCAGGCUUUCCUUACUGAGGAGUUAGCAACGCUGCUAAGGGUGCAGAGCCACACAUGCGCUCAGAGCUCUGCAUGGGAGACUGAAGCUGACAGAGCUGCAGCAGUUAGCAGGUUUCACCCUCAGAGACCACCAGGGGUUCAUGUUGAGGCAUUUUAAUUUUUUUUUUUUUUUUGUGCCAUAGACACUGUCAGCACAAUCUGCAGUUACACUAACAAAAAUGCUGCAAAAAACAAAGAAUUAUGGAAAAAUUACACAUGGACUGACAUAGAGGAGGAUCUACACAAGUUUUUUACAUCAUGUUUUACAUCAUGCAUCAUUUACAUCAUGUUUUUUUGUAGUGGCAUAAAUAAAAAGUGACAUUUGUGAGACUAUACAGUGUUUUGUAAAUAAUUUUACAAAGAACGCCUGGGCCAUUGCCUGCAUUUUGAUGUAAAUAGAGGUAAAUCACUAUGUUCUUUGUUAAAAAUUUGCAUAUGUUUUGAAGUUUACAAUUUUUAUUUGAAGUUUAAGUUUUAAAAACAGUUCAUCACACAUAUUUGUGGUUUUCACAGUAAAAAUGUUACUUUUUUCCACUCGGAUUUUAUGUUUUGUGUGUGAAUUUGGGUCCAUUGUGUAAAUUCAGUAUGUCAACAUGAUAAAAUAACUGUAAAUUCGCACAGGUGAGGUUGUGCUGAAAAAAAUGAUACCAGGCAAGGCACGUGAUUGUCAAAUUUUGUGUCAAUAUGACAAAGCGUAUAGGCGUGAAUCUCAACAAUAUGUAUUUUCACCUUAGGGGACAAGAAAAAAUGGACUUUUUUCUCCUGCCAUGGGGGGGCGCUCUUUUGGGGAGUAAAAAUUCCUUCACAAAUGUGUUGAUGGCUGGACAUUGCAUCAUCCUAGAAAACUUGGAGGCCAGUGAGGACAAAAAUAAAAAGUUAUUAGACUUUUAAAUAUGUGGAUUUUAGGGUUAUCUUUGGCGCCCCCUAGAACCUAAACCGUAGGGUGCAGCGUCAUGAUUUGAAUAAUUUUUAAUGGCCAUGGGGUGUAGAUUGGCCUGAGCAAAUGUGGUGCCGGUGGAACGAAAGCCUUAGGAGGAGUUAGCCACAUUCCAAUGUGUGCGGAUCGGCAAAAAAUGCGGAAUAACCCUUUAACCGUACAUUUGACAGAUACGCGCGCAUUGACUUUUUCGUAGAUCUUAUUGAGUUACAUGUGUGUGUCAAUUUUUAUGUCAUUUUGACAAAGCGUAUAGGCGUGACACUCAACAAUGUGUAUUUUCACCUUAGGGGACAAGAAAAAAUUGACUUUUUUCUCCUGCCAUGGGGGGGCGCUCUUUUGGGGAGUAAAAAUUCCUUCACAAAUGUGUUGAUGGCUGGACAUUGCAUCAUCCUAGAAAACUUGGAGGCCAGUGAGGACAAAAAUAAAAAGUUAUAAGACUUUUAAAUAUGUGGAUUUUAGUGUUAUCUUUGGCGCCCCCUAGAACCUAAACCUUGGGGUGCAGCAUCAUGAUUUUGAUAACUUUUAAUGGCCACGGGGUGUAGAUUGGCCUGAGCAAAUGUGGUGCCGGUGGAACGAAAGCCUUCGGAGGAGUUAGCGAAAUUCCAAUGUGUGCGGAUCGGCAAAAAAUGCGAAAUAACCCUUUAACCGUAAUUUUGACAGAUACGGCCGCACUGACUUUUUUGUAGAUCUUAUUGAGAUACAUAUGUGUGUCAAUUUUUGUGUCAAUAUGACAAAGCGUACAGGCGUGACAGUCAAUAGUGUGAAUUUCCACCUUAGGGGGCGCUAUGGAGCCAUUUUGCAUUUUAUUGUUUGGGCGACUUCAGAAUAUCGAAUUUUUCACCAGGCCCGGUCGUCCUGCCAAAUUUCAUGAGUUUUCGCCAGUGGGAAGUGGGCCAUUUUCCAGUUCAAAGGGGAGGAAAAAGAAGAAAGAAAGAAAGAAAGAAACAAAGAAAAACCACUUGGGGAAUAAUAGGGCUCUCGCAGCUGCUUAGCAGCUACGCUCGGGCCCUAAAGAAAGAAAGAAAGAAACAAAGAAAAACCACUUGGGGAAUAAUAGGGCCUACGCCCGGCUGCUCUGCAGCUGGCUCGGGCCCUAACUAGGACCCCGUUGGGGCACUGGCGGGCCCGAGCUGUGUCGCGUCCCCCCCCAACGCGCUGCCUCCCCGUCCCAUUUGUGUCCUCUGGCCAUCGCCCUCUCUGGUAACGCCCAUCACUGCAAAGACCCUUUUCCUUCAUCGGCGUUUGCUGUUCUUCCUGCCAGUGCGUGUUGCUUUCACUUACACUUGCCACAGCCAGCCUCGUGAGUGCCUAGCCUAUUCGAUAUCACUGUCACCUACACAGGACAGUCAUUACCUUUCUAUUAAUACUUUGUUUUUUAAUUUCACAUUAAUUUCCAUAUUGUAUAAACGACUGGAAAAAACUUGAGCCCCUGCCCCUGUAUAAUCAUGUGCAGGUCUCUGUUCUAGCUCCAAGGUGAAUCUUCACUGCUCAUGUUCUCCUCAGAAGCACUCACCUCACUCCCCUCAGGUUACUGUACACAUGCACCAACUGCCUGCUUCAGGUUUGGAUGGAGCUUCAUGGUUGUCUUUUGGAGAAAUGACCAGUCAAGUUGUGUUUGAAAUUUGAUUUUUUUCAGGGGCAAAAGGAGCCUCUGCAUUCUUGUCAAAUAUGUAAAUAGCAUGUUUUUGCAGGUGCUAAAAACCAGACUCUGAGUGUGUGUGUGUGCGUGUGUGUGUGUGUCUGUGUGUGUGUGUGUGUGUGUGUGUGUGUGUGUGUGUGUGUGCGUUCAAGUCACAUGACAUAUUUAACCGGAUGUAGCUGCAAGACGGAGCCUCGUUGACUCUCCGUUUCAACUUAUCUCAAAAGUGAGGACCUCAACCUAUAUACCAGUUUUUAAAUUGUGUUGAUAGGCCAAAUAAAACCAGAGUUAUGAUAAAUUAUGUCCGCGAUACUUUUUUUCUGCUUAUUUUGAUCACGUUCGGCGCUCGAUCGCGCUGUAUGAGACAGGAAAACAUAGCAUGCAGACAUUAGCGACAGGUCUUACAGGCGGAAAAGGCUUGCCAAAAGAAAAAAAAAACACACCACAACAUCUCUCCUAUUGGUGGAAAACUUCACCACAACAACCAAUCCAAAAUUAUAUGGUGACUGAUUGACAAGGGGCGGGCGCUUACGUUCUUCCUGCAAUAUGAGAAGGGAGGGAGGGACUCUCAGCAGGGAUGCAGUCUGGGACACGUAGUUGCAAACCUAGCGACUUUGUUGUUAGAUUCAAUGACUUUUCAGACCCCCUAACGACUUUUUUUAGAAAGAAAGUGACUUUUAUCGACUUCUUCUGGAGUUUAGAGACUCUGACAUGAAGCAGGCUUUCCUUACUGAGGAGUUAGCAACGCUGCUAAGGGUGCAGAGCCACACAUGCGCUCCGAGCUCUGCAUGGGAGACUGAAGCUGACAGAGCUGCAGCAGUUAGCAGGUUUCACCCUCAGAGACCACCAGGGGUUCAUGUUGAGGCAUUUUCAGUUUUUUUUGUUUUUUUUUUGCCAUAGACACUGUCAGCACAAUCUGCAGUUACACUAACAAAAAUGCUGCAAAAAACAAAGAAUUAUGGAAAAAUUACACAUGGACUAACAUAGAGGAGGAUCUACACAAGUUUUUUACAUCAUGUUUUACAUCAUGCAUCAUUUACAUCAUGUUUUUUUUUAGUGGCAUAAAUAAAAAGUGACAUUUGUGAGACUAUACAGUGUUUUGUAAAUAAUUUUACAAAGAACACCUGGGCCAUUGCCUGCAUUUUGAUGUAAAUAGAGGUAAAUUACUAUGUUCUUUGUUAAAAAUUUGCAUAUGUUUUGAAGUUUACAAUUUUUAUUUGAAGUUUAAGUUUUAAAAACAGUUCAUCACACAUAUUUGUGGUUUUCACAGUAAAAACGUUACUUUUUUCCACUCGGAUUUUAUGUUUUGUGUGUGAAUUUGGGUCCAAUGUGUAAAUAUAGUAUGUCAAAAUGAUAAAAUAACUGUAAAUUGACACAGGUGAGGUUGUGCUGAAAAAAAUGAUACCAGGCAAGGCAAGGUAAAAAUUUUGUAAGAGGAAAUAUAAAGGUAAAAUCUAAAGUAGUCAAAAACGGCCAAUAGUGACUCACAGACUCCACAGACAAGUCCCUUUGGCGCCACUCAGUGGGCAAAACUACUUUGUCUACUGUAAUGUAUAUUUGGGUCAUCUUUGGCGCCCCCUAAAACGUAAACCGUGGGGUGCAGCAUCAUGAUCUUUACAACUUUGAAUGGCCAUGGAGUGUAGAUUGGCCUGAGCAAAUUUGGUGUCAGUGGGACGAAAGCCUUAGGAGGAGUUAGCGAAAUUCCAAUGUGUGCGAAUCGGCAAAAAAUGCAAAAUAGCCCUUUUACCGUACAUUAUACAGAUACGCGCCCUUUGACUUUUUCGUAGAUCUAAUUGAGAUACACAUGAUUGUCAAUUUUUGUGUCAUUUUGCCAAAGCGUACAGGCGUGACAGUCAACAAUGUGUAUUUUCACCUUAGGGGACAAGAAAAAAUGGACUUUUUUCUCCUGCCAUGGGGGGCGCUCUUUUAGGGAGUAAAAAUUCCUUCACAAAUGUGUUGAUGGCUGGACAUUGCAUCAUCCUAGAAAACUUGGAGGCCAGUGAGGACAAAAAUAAAAAGUUAUAAGACUUUUAAAAAUGUGGAUUUUUGGGUUAUCUUUGGCACCCCCUAGAACGUAAACCGUGGGGUGCAGCGUCAUGAUUUGAAUAACUUUUAAUGGCCAUGGGGUGUAAUUUGGCCUGAGCAAAUGUGGUGCCGGUGGAACGAAAGCCUUCGGAGGAGUUAGCGAAAUUCCAAUGUGUGCGAAUCGGCAAAAAAUGCGGAAUAACCCUUUAACCGUACAUUUGACAGAUACGCGCUCAUGGACUUUUUUGUAGAUCUUAUUGAGAUACAUGUGUGUGUCAAUUUUUGUGUCAUUUUGACAAAGCGUACAGGCGUGACACUCAACAAUGUGUAUUUUCACCUUAGGGGACAAGAAAAAAUGGACUUUUUUCUCCUGCCAUGGGGGGGCGCUCUUUUAGGGAGUAAAAAUUCCUUCACAAAUGUGUUGAUGGCUGGACAUUGCAUCAUCCUAGAAAACUUGGAGGCCAGUGAGGACAGAAAUAAAAAGUUAUAAGACUUUUAAAUAUGUGGAUUUUAGGGUUAUCUUUGGCGCCCCCUAGAACCUAAACCGUGGGGUGCAGCGUCAUGAUUUGAAUAACUUUUAAUGGCCAUGGGGUGUAGAUUGGCCUGAGCAAAUGUGGUGCCGGUGGAACGAAAGCCUUCGGAGGAGUUAGCGAAAUUCCAAUGUGUGCGGAUCGGCAAAAAAUGCGAAAUAACCCUUUAACCGUACAUUUGACAGAUACGCCCGCACUGACUUUUUUGUAGAUCUUAUUGAGAUACAUGUGUGUGUCAAUUUUUGUGUCAUUUUGACAAAGCGUACACGCGUGACAGUCAAUAGUGUGAAUUUUCACCUUAGGGGGCGCUAUGGAGCCAUUUUGCAUUUUCUUGUUUGGGCGACUUCGGAAUAUAAAAUUUUUCACCAGGCCCGGUCGUCCUGCCAAAUUUCAUGAGUUUUCGCCAGUGGGAAGUGGGCCAUUUUCCAGUUCAAAGGGGAGGAAAAAGAAAAAAGAAACAAAGAAAAACCCCUUGGGGAAUAAUAGGGCUCUCGCAGCUGCUUAGCAGCUACGCUCGGGCCCUAAAGAAAGAAAGAAAGAAACAAAGAAAAACCACUUGGGGAAUAAUAGGGCCUACGCCCGGCUGCUCUGCAGCUGGCUCGGGCCCUAAAAAGAAACAAAGAAAAACCACUUGGGGAAUAAUAGGGCUCUCGCAGCUGCUUAGCAGCUACGCUCGGGCCCUAACUAGGACCCCGUUGGGGCACUGGCGGGCCCGAGCCGUUUCGGGUCGCGUCCCCCCCCCCCCAACGUGCUGCCUCCCCGUCCCAUUUGUGUCCUCUGGCCAUCGCCCUCUCUGUUAACGCCCAUCACUGCAAAGACCCUUUUCCUUCAUCGGCGUUUGCUGUUCUUCCUGCCAGUGCGUGUUGCUUUCACUUACACUUGCCACAGCCAGCCUCGUGAGUGCCUAGCCUAUUGGAUAUCACUGUCACCUACACAGGACAGUCAUUACCUUUCUAUUAAUACUUUGUGUUUUAAUUUCACAUUAAUUUCCAUAUUGUAUAAACGACUGGAAAAAACUUGAGCCCCUGCCCCUGUAUAAUCAUGUGCAUGUCUCUGUUCUAGCUCCAAGGUGAAUCUUCACUGCUCAUGUUCUCCUCAGAAGCACUCACCUCACUCCCCUCAGGUUACUGUACACAUGCACCAACUGCCUGCUUCAGGUUUGGAUGGAGCUUCAUGGUUGUCUUUUGGAGAAAUUACCAGUCAAGUUGUGUUUGAAAUUUGAUUUUUUUCAGGGGCAAAAGGAGCCUCUGCAUUCUUGUCAAAUAUGUAAAUAGCAUGUUUUUGCAGGUGCUAAAAACCAGACUCUGAGUGUGUGUGUGUGUGUGUGUGUGUGUGUGUGUGUGUGUGUGAGUGUGCGUGUGUGUGUGUCUAUGUGUGCGUUCAAGUCACAUGACAUAUUUAACCGGAUGUAGCUGCAAGACGGAGCCUCGUUGACUCUCCGUUUCAACUUAUCUCAAAAGUGAGGACCUCAACCUAUAUACCAGUUUUUAAAUUGUGUUGAUAGGCCAAAUAAAACCAGAGUUAUGAUAAAUUAUGUCCGCGAUACUUUUUUUCUGCUUAUUUUGAUCACGUUCGGCGCUCGAUCGCGCUGUAUGAGACAGGAAAACACAGCAUGCAGACAUUAACGACAGGUCUUACAGGCGGAAAAGGCUUGCCAAAAGAAAAAAAAAACACACCACAACAUCUCUCCUAUUGGUGGAAAACUUCACCACAACAACCAAUCCAAAAUUAUAUGGUGACUGAUUGACAAGGGGCGGGCGCUUACGUUCUUCCUGCAACAUGAGAAGGGAGGGAGGGACUCUCAGCAGGGAUGCAGUCUGGGACACGUAGUUGCAAACCUAGCGACUUUGUUGUUAGAUUCAAUGACUUUUCAGACCCCCUAACGACUUUUUUUUAGAAAGAAAGGGACUUUUAUCGACUUCUUCUGGAGUUUAGAGACUCUGACAUGAAGCAGGCUUUCCUUACUGAGGAGUUAGCAACGCUGCUAAGGGUGCAGAGCCACACAUGCGCUCAGAGCUCUGCAUGGGAGACUGAAGCUGACAGAGCUGCAGCAGUUAGCAGGUUUCACCCUCAGAGACCACCAGGGGUUCAUGUUGAGGCAUUUUAAUUUUUUUUUUUUUUUUUUGCCAUAGACACUGUCAGCACAAUCUGCAGUUACACUAACAAAAAUGCUGCAAAAAACAAAGAAUUAUGGAAAAAUUACACAUGGACUGACAUAGAGGAGGAUCUACACAAGUUUUUUACAUCAUGUUUUACAUCAUGCAUCAUUUACAUCAUGUUUUUUUGUAGUGGCAUAAAUAAAAAGUGACAUUUGUGAGACUAUACAGUGUUUUGUAAAUAAUUUUACAAAGAACGCCUGGGCCAUUGCCUGCAUUUUGAUGUAAAUAGAGGUAAAUCACUAUGUUCUUUGUUAAAAAUUUGCAUAUGUUUUGAAGUUUACAAUUUUUAUUUGAAGUUUAAGUUUUAAAAACAGUUCAUCACACAUAUUUGUGGUUUUCACAGUAAAAAUGUUACUUUUUUCCACUCGGAUUUUAUGUUUUGUGUGUGAAUUUGGGUCCAUUGUGUAAAUUCAGUAUGUCAACAUGAUAAAAUAACUGUAAAUUCGCACAGGUGAGGUUGUGCUGAAAAAAAUGAUACCAGGCAAGGCACGUGAUUGUCAAAUUUUGUGUCAAUAUGACAAAGCGUAUAGGCGUGAAUCUCAACAAUAUGUAUUUUCACCUUAAGGGACAAGAAAAAAUGGACUUUUUUCUCCUGCCAUGGGGGGUGGGCGCUCUUUUGGGGAGUAAAAAUUCCUUCACAAAUGUGUUGAUGGCUGGACAUUGCAUCAUCCUAGAAAACUUGGAGGCCAGUGAGGGCAAAAAUAAAAAGUUAUAAGACUUUUAAAUAUGUGGAUUUUAGGGUUUUCUUUGGCGCCCCCUAGAACGUAAACUGUGGGGUGCAGCGUCAUGAUUUUGAUAACUUUUAAUGGCCAUGGGGUGUAGAUUGGCCUGAGCAAAUGUGGUGCCGGUGGAACGAAAGCCUUAGGAGGAGUUAGCCACAUUCCAAUGUGUGCGGAUCUGCAAAAAAUGUGAAAUAACCCUUUAACUGUACAUUUUACAUAUACGUGGCCAUUGACUUUGUCGAAGAUCUUAUUGAAAUACACGUGUAUGUCAAAUUUUGUGUCAUUUUGACAAAGCGUACAGGCGUGACACUCUACAAUGUGUAUUUUCACCUUAGGGGACAAGAAAAAAUGGACUUUUUUCUCCUGCCAUGGGGGGGCGCUCUUUUGGGGAGUAAAAAUUCCUUCACAAAUGUGUUGAUGGCUGGACAUUGCAUCAUCCUAGAAAACUUGGAGGCCAGUGAGGGCAAAAAUAAAAAGUUAUAAGACUUUUAAAUAUGUGGAUUUUAGGGUUAUCUUUGGCGCCCCCUAGAACGUAAACUGUGGGGUGCAGCGUCAUGAUUUUGAUAACUUUUAAUGGCCAUGGGGUGUAGAUUGGCCUGAGCAAAUGUGGUGCCGGUGGAACGAAAGCCUUAGGAGGAGUUAGCCACAUUCCAAUGUGUGCGGAUCGGCAAAAAAUGCGGAAUAACCCUUUAACCGUACAUUUGACAGAUACGCGCGCAUUGACUUUUUCGUAGAUCUUAUUGAGUUACAUGUGUGUGUCAAUUUUUGUGUCAUUUUGACAAAGCGUAUAGGCGUGACACUCAACAAUGUGUAUUUUCACCUUAGGGGACAAGAAAAAAUGGACUUUUUUCUCCUGCCAUGGGGGGGCGCUCUUUUUGGGAGUAAAAAUUCCUUCACAAAUGUGUUGAUGGCUGGACAUUGCAUCAUCCUAGAAAACUUGGAGGCCAGUGAGGACAAAAAUAAAAAGUUAUAAGACUUUUAAAUAUGUGGAUUUUAGGGUUGUCUUUGGCGCCCCCUAGAACCUAAACCGUGGGGUGCAGCGUCAUGAUUUGAAUAACUUUUAAUGGCCAUGGGGUGUAGAUUGGCCUGAGCAAAUGUGGUGCCGGUGGAACGAAAGCCUUAGGAGGAGUUAGCGAAAUUCCAAUGUGUGCGGAUCGGCAAAAAAUGCGGAAUAACCCUUUAACCGUACAUUUGACAGAUACGCGCGCAUUGACUUUUUCGUAGAUCUUAUUGAGUUACAUGUGUGUGUCAAUUUUUGUGUCAUUUUGACAAAACGUAUAGGCGUGACACUCAACAAUGUGUAUUUUCACCUUAGGGGACAAGAAAAAAUGGACUUUUUUCUCCUGCCAUGGGGGGGCGCUCUUUUGGGGAGUAAAAAUUCCUUCACAAAUGUGUUGAUGGCUGGACAUUGCAUCAUCCUAGAAAACUUGGAGGCCAGUGAGGACAAAAAUAAAAAGUUAUAAGACUUUUAAAUAUGUGGAUUUUAGUGUUAUCUUUGGCGCCCCCUAGAACCUAAACCUUGGGGUGCAGCGUCAUGAUUUUGAUAACUUUUAAUGGCCACGGGGUGUAGAUUGGCCUGAGCAAAUGUGGUGCCGGUGGAACGAAAGCCUUCGGAGGAGUUAGCGAAAUUCCAAUGUGUGCGGAUCGGCAAAAAAUGCGAAAUAACCCUUUAACCGUAAUUUUGACAGAUACGGCCGCACUGACUUUUUUGUAGAUCUUAUUGAGAUACAUGUGUGUGUCAAUUUUUGUGUCAUUUUGACAAAGCGUACAGUCGUGACAGUGAAUAGUGUGAAUUUUCACCUUAGGGGGCGCUAUGGAGCCAUUUUGCAUUUUAUUGUUUUGGCGACUUCAGAAUAUCAAAUUUUUCACCAGGCCCGGUCGUCCUGCCAAAUUUCAUGAGUUUUCGCCAGUGGGAAGUGGGCCAUUUUCCAGUUCAAAGGGGAGGAAAAAGAAAAAAGAAAGAAAGAAACAAAGACUAGGGCCCCGUUGGGGCACUGGCGGGCCCGAGCUGUGUCGCGCCCCCCGCCCAUCACUGCAAAGACCCUUUUCCUUCAUCGGCGUUUGCUGUUCUUCCUGCCAGUGCGUGUGGCUUUCACUUGCACUUGCCACAGCCAGCCUCGUGAGUGCCUAGCCUAUUGGAUAUCACUGUCACCUACACAGGACAGUCAUUACCUUUCUAUUAAUACUUUGUUUUUUAAUUUCACAUUAAUUUCCAUAUUGUAUAAACGACUGGAAAAAACUUGAGCCCCUGCCCCUGUAUAAUCAUGUGCACGUCCCUGUUCUAGCUCCAAGGUGAAUCUUCACUGCUCAUGUUCUCCUCAGAAGCAGUCACCUCACUCCCCUCAGGUUACUGUACACAUGCACCAACUGCCUGCUUCAGGUUUGGAUGGAGCUUCAUGGUUGUCUUUUGGAGAAAUGAGCAGUCAAGUUGUGUUUGAAAUUUCAUUUUUUUCAGGGGCAAAAGGAAGUCUCUGCAUUGUUGUCAAAUAUGUAAAUAGCAUGUUUUUGCAGGUGCUGAAAAACAGACUCUGAGUGUGUGUGUGUGUGUGUGUGUGUGUGUGUGUGUGUGUGUGUGUGUGUGUGUGCGUGUGUGUGUGUGUGUGUCUGUGUGUGUGUGUCUGUGUGUGUGUAUCCUGCAGUACUCUGUACUCCUGCAGUGGCCAAAACGACUUUUAAGAAUGUGGAUAUUUGGGUCAUCUUUGGCGCCCCCUAGAACGUAAACCGUGGGGUGCAGCGUCAUGAUUUUUACAACUUUGAAUGGCCAUGGGGUGUAGAUUGGCCUGAGCAAAUUUGGUGUCAGUGGAACGAAAGCCUUAGGAGGAGUUAGCCACAUUCCAAUGUGUGCGAAUCGGCAAAAAAUGCGAAAUAGCCCUUUAACCGUACAUUUUACAGAUACGUGCACAUUGACUUUUUCGUAGAUCUUAUUGAGAUACACGUGAUUGUCAAAUUUUGUGUCAAUAUGACAAAGCGUACAGGCGUGACACUCAACAAUGUGUAUUUUCGCAUUAGGGGACAAGAAAAAAAUGGACUUUUUUCUCCUGCCAUGGGGGGGCGCUCUUUUGGCGAGUAAAAAUUCCUUCACAAAUGUGUUAAUUGCUGGACAUUGCAUCAUCCUAGAGAACUUGGAGGCCAGUGAGGACAAAAAUAAAAAGUUAUAAGACUUUUAAGAAUGUGGAUUUUUGGGUUAUCUUUGGCGCCCCCUAGAACGUAAACCGUGGGGUGCAGCGUCAUGAUUUGCACAACUUUUAAUGGCCAUGGGGUGUAGAUUGGCCUGAGCAAAUUUGGUGCCGGUGGAACGAAAGCCUUCGGAGGAGUUAGCGAAAUUCCAAUGUGUGCGGAUCGGCAAAAAAUGCGAAAUAACCCUUUAACCGUACAUUUGACAGAUACGCCCACACUGACUUUUUUGUAGAUCGUAUUGAGAUACAUGUGUGUGUCAAUUUUUGUGUCAAUAUGACAAAGCGUACAAGCGUGACAGUCAAUAGUGUGAAUUUCCACCUUAGGGGGCGCUAUGGAGCCAUUUUGCAUUUUAUUGUUUGGGCGACUUCAGAAUAUCGAAUUUUUCACCAGGCCCGGUCAUCCUGCCAAAUGUCAUGAGUUUUCGCCAGUGGGAAGUGGGCCAUUUUCCCCUUCAAAGGGGAGGAAAAAUAAGACUAGGGCCCCGUUGGGGCACUGGCGGGCCCGAGCCGCGUUGCGCCGCCCCCAGUGCGACCGCCUCCACCUCCCGAUCGCGUCACACUCAAGGUCCAAAGAUGGUGUGCGCACUUGUCUGUGGUCAUUUCCCAUUAUAAUGAAUGGGAGGCGCAGUUUCUACCAAAACACUCGCUGCAGACAAACUACAUGUCCUAUUUGAAAAAAGUCUGGACCCUGAGUGAGGGCACAAACACAGCUAGGAUAUAUUUAAACGGCAAGUUGCUCCUCGUUACGGUGUUGCCGGGAGAGCGAUGCGAUUGAGCCAUUGAGUGAUGGGCAGGAAAAACUUGACUGUUUCUCCUGCCAUGGGGGAUGGGGGAUGGGGGAUGGGGGGGGGGGGGAUGUGGAUUCUUUUAAGAAUGUGGAUAUUUGGGUCAUCUUUGGCGCCCCCUAGAACGUAAACCGUGGGGUGCAGCGUCAUGAUUUUUAAAACUUUGAAUGGCCAUGGGGUGUAGAUUGGCCUGAGCAAAUUUGGUGUCAGUGGGAUGAAAGCCUUAGGAGGAGUUAGCCACAUUCCAAUGUGUGCUAAUCGGCAAAAAAUGCAAAAUAGCCCUUUAACCGUACAUUUUACAGAUACACGCGCAUUGACUUUUUCGUAGAUCUUAUUGAGAUACAUGUGUGUGUCAAAUUUUGUGUCAAUAUGACAAAGCGUACAGGUAUGACAGUCAACAAUGUUUAUUUUCACCUUAUGGGACAAGAAAAAAUGGACUUUUUUCUCCUGCCAUGGGGGGGCGCUCUUUUGGGGAGUAAAAAUUCCUUCACAAAUGUGUUGAUGGCUGGACAUUGCAUCAUCCUAGAAAACUUGGAGGCCAGAGAGGACAAAAAUAAAAAGUUAUAAGACUUUUAAAUAUGUGGAUUUUAGGGUUAUCUUUGGCGCCCCCUAGAACCUAAACCGUGGGGUGCAGCGUCAUGAUUUGAAUAACUUUUAAUGGCCAUGGGGUGUAGAUUGGCCUGAGCAAAUGUGGUGCCGGUGGAACGAAAGCCUUCGGAGGAGUUAGCGAAAUUCCAAUGUGUGCGGAUCGGCAAAAAAUGCGGAAUAACCCUUUAACCGUACAUUUGACAGAUACGCCCGCACUGACUUUUUUGUAGAUCUUAUUGAGAUACAUGUGUGUGUCAAAUUUUGUGUCAUUUUGACAAAGCGUACAGGCGUGACACUCAAUAGUGUGAAUUUUCACCUUAGGGGGCGCUAUGGAGCCAUUUUGCAUUUUCUUGUUUGGGCGACUUCGGAAUAUCAAAUUUUUCACCAGGCCCGGUCGUCCUGCCAAAUUUCAUGAGUUUUCGCCAGUGGGAAGUGGGCCAUUUUCCAGUUCAAAGGGGAGGAAAAAUAAUAACUAGGACCCCGUUGGGGCACUGGCGGGCCCGAGCCGUGUCGCGUCUCCCCCCCCCCCCCCCCAACAUGCUGCCUCCCCGUCCCAUUUGUGUCCUCUGGCCAUCGCCCUCUCUGUUAACGCCCAUCACUGCAAAGACCCUUUUCCUUCAUCGGCGUUUGCUGUUCUUCCUGCCAGUGCGUGUUGCUUUCACUUACACUUGCCACAGCCAGCCUCGUGAGUGCCUAGCCUAUUGGAUAUCACUGUCACCUACACAGGACAGUCAUUACCUUUCUAUUUAGGGCCCGAGCGUAGCUGCUAAGCAGCUGCGAGAGCCCUCUUGUUCCUGAUGGAUUCUUCUUUUGUUAUUAUUAUUAGGGCCCGAGCGUAGCUGCUAAGCAGCUGCGAGAGCCCUCUUGUUCCUGAUGGAUUCUUCUUUUGUUAUUAUUAUUAUUAUUUUUCCUCCGCUUUAAACUGGAAAAUGGCCCACUUCCCACUGGCGAAAACUCAUGAAAUUUGGCAGGACGACCGGGCCUGGUGAAAAAUUCAAUAUUCUGAAGUCGCCCAAACAAUAAAAUGCAAAAUGGCUCCAUAGCGCCCCCUAAGGUGGAAAUUCACACUAUUGACUGUCACGUCUGUACGUUUUGUCAUAUUGACACAAAAAUUGACACACAUAUGUAUCUCAAUAAGAUCUACAAAAAAGUCAGUGCGGGCGUAUCUGUCAAAUGUACGGUUAAAGGGUUAUUUCGCAUUUUUUGCCGAUCCGCACACAUUGGAAUUUCGCUAACUCCUCCGAAGGCUUUCGUUCCACCGGCACCACAUUUGCUCAGGCCAGUCUACACCCCAUGGCCAUUAAAAGUUGUACAAAUCAUGACGCUGCACCCCACGGUUUAGGUUCUAGGGGGCGCCAAAGAUAACCCAAAAAUCCACAUUUUUAAAAGUCUUAUAACUUUUUAUUUUUGUCCUCACUGCCCUCCAAGUUUUCUAGGAUGAUGCAAUGUCCAGCCAUCAACACAUUUGUGAAGGAAUUUUUACUCCCCAAAAGAGCGCCCCCCCAUGGCAGGAGAAAAAAGUCAAUUUUUUCUUGUCCCCUUACAUGAAAAUACACAUUGUUGAGUGUCACGCCUGAACGCUUUGUCAUAUUGACACAAAAAUUGACAAUCAUGUGUAUCUCAAUUAGAUCUACGAAAAAGUCAAAGAGCGCGUAUCUGUAUAAUGUACGGUUAAAGGGCUAUUUCGCAUUUUUUGCCGAUUCGCACACAUUGGAAUGUGGCUAUCUCCUCCUAAGGCUUUCGUCCCACUGAUACCAAAUUUGCUCAGGGCAAUCUACACCCCAUGCCCAUUCAAAGUUGUAAAAAUCAUGACGCUGCACCCCACGGUUUACGUUCUAGGGGGCGCCAAAGAUGACCCAAAAAUCCACAUUCUUAAAAGUCAUUUUGGCCACUGCAGGAGUACAGAGUACUGCAGUUCUAGGGGGCGCCAAAGAUGACCCAAAAAUCCACAUUCUUAAAAGUCUUUUUGGCCACUGCAGGAGUACAGAGUACUGCAGGAUACACACACAUAUACACACACGCCAACACACACACACACACACACACACACACACACACACACACACACACUCAGAGUCUGUUUUUUAGCACCUGCAAAAACAUGCUGUUUACAUAUUUGACAAGAAUGCAGAGGCUUCCUUUUGCCCCUGAAAAAAAUCAAAUUUCAAACACAACUUGACUGUUCAUUUCUCCAAAAGACAACCAUGAAGCUCCAUCCAAACCUGAAGCAGAUAGUUGGUGCAUGUGUACAGUAACCUGAGGGGAGUGAGGUGACUAUUUCUGAGGAGAACAUGAGCAGUGAAGAUUCACCUUGGAGCUAGAACAGGGACGUGCACAUGAUUAUACAGGGGCAGGGGCUCAAGUUUUUUCCAGUCAUUUAUACAAUAUGGAAAUUAAUGUGAAAUUAAAAAACAAAGUAUUAAUAGAAAGGUUAUGACUGUCCUGUGUAGAUGACAGUGAUAUCCAAUAGGCUAGGCACUCACGAGGCUGGCUGUGGCAAGUGUAAGUGAAAGCAACACGCACUGGCAGGAAGAACAGCAAACGCCGAUGAAGGAAAGGGUCUUUGCAGUGAUGGGCGUUACCAGAGAGGACGAUGGCCAGAGGACGCGAAUGGGACGGGGAGGCAGCGCGUUGGGGGGGGCAGCGCGACACGGCUCGGGCCCGCCAGUGCCCCAACGGGGCCCUAGUUAUUAUUUUUCCUCCGCUUUAAACUGGAAAAUGGCCCACUUCCCACUGGCGAAAACUCAUGAAAUUUGGCAGGACGACCGGGCCUGGUGAAAAAUUCGAUAUUUUGAAGUCGCCCAAACAAUAAAAUGCAAAAUGGCUCCAUAGCGCCCCCUAAGGUGAAAAUUCACACUAUUGACUGUCACGUCUGUACGUUUUGUCAUAUUGACACAAAAAUUGACACACAUAUGUAUCUCAAUAAGAUCUACAAAAAAGUCAGUGCGGGCGUAUCUGUCAAAUGUACAGUUAAAGGGUUAUUUCGCAUUUUUUGCCGAUCCGCACACAUUGGAAUUUCUCUAACUCCUCCGAAGGCUUUCGUUCCACCGGCACCACAUUUGCUCAGGCCAGUCUACACCCCAUGGCCAUUAAAAGUUGUACAAAUCAUGACGCUGCACCCCACGGUUUAGGUUCUAGGGGGCGCCAAAGAUAACCCAAAAAUCCACAUUCUUAAAAGUCUUAUAACUUUUUAUUUUUGUCCUCACUCCCUCCAAGUUUUCUAGGAUGAUGCAAUGUCCAGCCAUCAACACAUUUGUGAAGGAAUUUUUACUCCCCAAAAGAGCGCCCCCCCAUGGCAGGAGAAAAAAGUCAAUUUUUUCUUGUCCCCUUACAUGAAAAUACACAUUGUUGAGUGUCACGCCUGAACGCUUUGUCAUAUUGACACAAAAAUUGACAAUCAUGUGUAUCUCAAUUAGAUCUACGAAAAAGUCAAAGAGCGCGUAUCUGUAUAAUGUACGGUUAAAGGGCUAUUUCGCAUUUUUUGCCGAUUCGCACACAUUGGAAUGUGGCUAUCUCCUCCUAAGGCUUUCGUCCCACUGAUACCAAAUUUGCUCAGGGCAAUCUACACCCCAUGCCCAUUCAAAGUUGUAAAAAUCAUGACGCUGCACCCCACGGUUUACGUUCUAGGGGGCGCCAAAGAUGACCCAAAAAUCCACAUUCUUAAAAGUCAUUUUGGCCACUGCAGGAGUACAGAGUACUGCAGGUUCUAGGGGGCGCCAAAGAUGACCCAAAAAUCCACAUUCUUAAAAGUCUUUUUGGCCACUGCAGGAGUACAGAGUACUGCAGGAUACACACACAUAUACACACACGCCAACACACACACACACACACACACACACACACACACACACACACACACACACACACACACACUCAGAGUCUGUUUUUUAGCACCUGCAAAAACAUGCUGUUUACAUAUUUGACAAGAAUGCAGAGGCUUCCUUUUGCCCCUGAAAAAAAUCAAAUUUCAAACACAACUUGACUGUUCAUUUCUCCAAAAGACAACCAUGAAGCUCCAUCCAAACCUGAAGCAGAUAGUUGGUGCAUGUGUACAGUAACCUGAGGGGAGUGAGGUGACUAUUUCUGAGGAGAACAUGAGCAGUGAAGAUUCACCUUGGAGCUAGAACAGGGACGUGCACAUGAUUAUACAGGGGCAGGGGCUCAAGUUUUUUCCAGUCAUUUAUACAAUAUGGAAAUUAAUGUGAAAUUAAAAAACAAAGUAUUAAUAGAAAGGUUAUGACUGUCCUGUGUAGAUGACAGUGAUAUCCAAUAGGCUAGGCACUCACGAGGCUGGCUGUGGCAAGUGUAAGUGAAAGCAACACGCACUGGCAGGAAGAACAGCAAACGCCGAUGAAGGAAAGGGUCUUUGCAGUGAUGGGCGUUACCAGAGAGGACGAUGGCCAGAGGACGCGAAUGGGACGGGGAGGCAGCGCGUUGGGGGGGGCAGCGCGACACGGCUCGGGCCCGCCAGUGCCCCAACGGGGCCCUAGUUAUUAUUAUUUUUCCUCCGCUUUAAACUGGAAAAUGGCCCACUUCCCACUGGGGAAAACUCAUGAAAUUUGGCAGGACGACCGGGCCUGGUGAAAAAUUCGAUAUUCUGAAGUCGCCCAAACAAGAAAAUGCAAAAUGGCUCCAUAGCGCCCCCUAAGGUGAAAAUUCACACUAUUGACUGUCACGCCUGUACGCUUUGUCAUAUUGACACAAAAAUUGACACACACAUGUAUCUCAAUAAGAUCUACAAAAAAGUCAGUGCGGGCGUAUCUGUCAAAUGUACGGUUAAAGGGUUAUUUUGCAUUUUUUGCAGAUCCGCACACAUUGGAAUUUCGCUAACUCCUCCGAAGGCUUUCGUUCCACCGGCACCACAUUUGCUCAGGCCAAUCUACACUCCAUGGCCAUUCAAAGUUGUACAAAUCAUAAUGCUGCACCCCAUGGUUUAGGUUCUAGGGGGCGCCAAAAAUAACCCAAAAAUCCACAUUCUUAAAAGUUUUAUAAAUUUUUUUUUUUGUCCUCACUGGCCUCCAAGUUUUCUAGGAUGAUGCAAUGUCCAGCCAUCAACACAUUUGUGAAGGAAUUUUUACUCCCCAAAAGAGCGCCCCCCCAUGGCAGGAAUAAAAAGUCCAUUUUUUCUUGUCCCCUAAGGUGAAAAUACACAUUGUUGAGUGUCACGCCUGUACGCUUUGUCGUAUUGACAAAAAAUUUGACACACACGUGUAUCUCAAUAAGAUCUACGAAAAAGUCAAUGGGCGCGUAUCUGUAAAAUGUACGGCUAAAGGGCUAUUUUGCAUUUUUUGCCGAUUCGCACACAUUGGAAUGUGGCUAACUCCUCCUAAGGCUUUCGUCCCACUGACACCAAAUUUGCUCAGGCCAAUCUACACCUCAUGGCCAUUCAAAGUUGUAAAAAUCAUGCCGCUGCACCCCAUGGUUUACGUUCUAGGGGGCGCCAAAGAUGACCCAAAUAUCCACAUUCUUAAAAGUCGUUUUGGCUUCUGCAGGAGUACAGAGUACUGCAGGAUACACACACACAGACACACACACACACAGACACACACACACACACACACACACACACACACACACUCACAGUCUGUUUUUUAGCACCUGCAAAAACAUGCUAUUUACAUAUUUGACAACAAUGCAGAGGCUUCCUUUUGCCCCUGAAAAAAAUCAAAUUUCUAACACAACUUGACUGCUCAUUUCUCCAAAAGACAACCAUGAAGCUCCAUCCAAACCUGAAGCAGGCAGUUGGUGCAUGUGUACAGUAACCUGAGGGGAGUGAGGUGACUGCUUCUGAGGAGAACAUGAGCAGUGAAGAUUCACCUUGGAGCGAGAACAGGGACGUGCACAUGAUUAUACGGGGGCAGGGGCUCAAGUUUUUUCCAGUCGUUUAUACAAUAUGGAAAUUAAUGUGAAAUUAAAAAACAAAGUAUUAAUAGAAAGGUAAUGACUGUCCUGUGUAGGUGACAGUGAUAUCCAAUAGGCUAGGCACUCACAAGGCUGGCUGUGGCAAGUGUAAGUGAAAGCAACACGCACUGGCAGGAAGAACAGCAAACGCCGAUGAAGGAAAAGGGUCUUUGCAGUGAUGGGCGUUACCAGAGAGGAUGAUGGCCAGAGGACGCGAAUGGGACGGGGAGGCAGCGCGUUGGGGGGGGGGGGGGACGACACAGCUCGGGCCCGCCAGUGCCCCAACGGGGCCCUAGUAAUACUUUGUGUUUUAAUUUCACAUUAAUUUCCAUAUUGUAUAAACGACUGGAAAAAACUUGAGCCCCUGCCCCUGUAUAAUCAUGUGCAUGUCUCUGUUCUAGCUCCAAGGUGAAUCUUCACUGCUCAUGUUCUCCUCAGAAGCACUCACCUCACUCCCCUCAGGUUACUGUACACAUGCACCAACUGCCUGCUUCAGGUUUGGAUGGAGCUUCAUGGUUGUCUUUUGGAGAAAUGACCAGUCAAGUUGUGUUUGAAAUUUGAUUUUUUUCAGGGGCAAAAGGAGCCUCUGCAUUCUUGUCAAAUAUGUAAAUAGCAUGUUUUUGCAGGUGCUAAAAACCAGACUCUGAGUGUGUGUGUGUGUGUGUGUGUGUGUGUGUGUGUGCGUGUGUGUGUGUCUGUGUGUGCGUUCAAGUCACAUGACAUAUUUAACCGGAUGUAGCUGCAAGACGGAGCCUCGUUGACUCUCCGUUUCAACUUAUCUCAAAAGUGAGGACCUCAACCUAUAUACCAGUUUUUAAAUUGUGUUGAUAGGCCAAAUAAAACCAGAGUUAUGAUAAAUUAUGUCCGCGAUACUUUUUUUCUGCUUAUUUUGAUCACGUUCGGCGCUCGAUCGCGCUGUAUGAGACAGGAAAACAUAGCAUGCAGACAUUAGCGACAGGUCUUACAGGCGGAAAAGGCUUGCCAAAAGAAAAAAAAAACACACCACAACAUCUCUCCUAUUGGUGGAAAACUUCACCACAACAACCAAUCCAAAAUUAUAUGGUGACUGAUUGACAAGGGGCGGGCGCUUACGUUCUUCCUGCAACAUGAGAAGGGAGGGAGGGACUCUCAGCAGGGAUGCAGUCUGGGACACGUAGUUGCAAACCUAGCGACUUUGUUGUUAGAUUCAAUGACUUUUCAGACCCCCUAAUGACUUUUUUUUAGAAAGAAAGGGACUUUUAUCGACUUCUUCUGGAGUUUAGAGACUCUGACAUGAAGCAGGCUUUCCUUACUGAGGAGUUAGCAACGCUGCUAAGGGUGCAGAGCCACACAUGCGCUCAGAGCUCUGCAUGGGAGACUGAAGCUGACAGAGCUGCAGCAGUUAGCAGGUUUCACCCUCAGAGACCACCAGGGGUUCAUGUUGAGGCAUUUUAAUUUUUUUUUUUUUUUGUGCCAUAGACACUGUCAGCACAAUCUGCAGUUACACUAACAAAAAUGCUGCAAAAAACAAAGAAUUAUGGAAAAAUUACACAUGGACUGACAUAGAGGAGGAUCUACACAAGUUUUUUACAUCAUGUUUUACAUCAUGCAUCAUUUACAUCAUGUUUUUUUGUAGUGGCAUAAAUAAAAAGUGACAUUUGUGAGACUAUACAGUGUUUUGUAAAUAAUUUUACAAAGAACGCCUGGGCCAUUGCCUGCAUUUUGAUGUAAAUAGAGGUAAAUCACUAUGUUCUUUGUUAAAAAUUUGCAUAUGUUUUGAAGUUUACAAUUUUUAUUUGAAGUUUAAGUUUUAAAAACAGUUCAUCACACAUAUUUGUGGUUUUCACAGUAAAAAUGUUACUUUUUUCCACUCGGAUUUUAUGUUUUGUGUGUGAAUUUGGGUCCAUUGUGUAAAUUCAGUAUGUCAACAUGAUAAAAUAACUGUAAAUUCGCACAGGUGAGGUUGUGCUGAAAAAAAUGAUACCAGGCAAGGCACGUGAUUGUCAAAUUUUGUGUCAUUAUGACAAAGCGUAUAGGCGUGAAUCUCAACAAUAUGUAUUUUCACCUUAGGGGACAAGAAAAAAUGGACUUUUUUCUCCUGCCAUGGGGGGCGCUCUUUUGGGGAGUAAAAAUUCCUUCACAAAUGUGUUGAUGGCUGGACAUUGCAUCAUCCUAGAAAACUUGGAGGCCAGUGAGGACAAAAAUAAAAAGUUAUAAGACUUUUAAAUAUGUGGAUUUUAGGGUUAUCUUUGGCGCCCCCUAGAACCUAAACCGUGGGGUGCAGCGUCAUGAUUUGAAUAACUUUUCAUGGCCAUGGGGUGUAGAUUGGCCUGAGCAAAUGUGGUGCCGGUGGAACGAAAGCCUUAGGAGGAGUUAGCCACAUUCCAAUGUGUGCUGAUCGGCAAAAAAUGCGGAAUAACCCUUUAACCGUACAUUUGACAGAUACGCGCGCAUUGACUUUUUCGUAGAUCUUAUUGAGUUACAUGUGUGUGUCAAUUUUUGUGUCAUUUUGACAAAGCGUAUAGGCGUGACACUCAACAAUGUGUAUUUUCACCUUAGGGGACAAGAAAAAAUGGACUUUUUUCUCCUGCCAUGGGGGGCGCUCUUUUGGGGAGUAAAAAUUCCUUCACAAAUGUGUUGAUGGCUGGACAUUGCAUCAUCCUAGAAAACUUGGAGGCCAGUGAGGACAAAAAUAAAAAGUUAUAAGACUUUUAAAUAUGUGGAUUUUAGUGUUAUCUUUGGCGCCCCCUAGAACCUAAACCUUGGGGUGCAGCGUCAUGAUUUUGAUAACUUUUAAUGGCCACGGGGUGUAGAUUGGCCUGAGCAAAUGUGGUGCCGGUGGAACGAAAGCCUUCGGAGAAGUUAGCGAAAUUCCAAUGUGUGCGGAUCGGCAAAAAAUGCGAAAUAACCCUUUAACCGUAAUUUUGACAGAUACGGCCGCACUGACUUUUUUGUAGAUCUUAUUGAGAUACAUGUGUGUGUCAAUUUUUGUGUCAUUUUGACAAAGCGUACAGUCGUGACAGUGAAUAGUGUGAAUUUUCACCUUAGGGGGCGCUAUGGAGCCAUUUUGCAUUUUAUUGUUUUGGCGACUUCAGAAUAUCAAAUUUUUCACCAGGCCCGGUCGUCCUGCCAAAUUUCAUGAGUUUUCGCCAGUGGGAAGUGGGCCAUUUUCCAGUUCAAAGGGGAGGAAAAAGAAAAAAGAAAGAAAGAAACAAAGAAAAACCACUUGGGGAAUAAUAGGGCCUACGCCCGGCUGCUCUGCAGCUGGCUCGGGCCCUAACUAGGACCCCGUUGGGGCACUGGCGGGCCCGAGCUGUGUCGCGUCCCCCCCCCAACGCGCUGCCUCCCCGUCCCAUUUGUGUCCUCUGGCCAUCGCCCUCUCUGGUAACGCCCAUCACUGCAAAGACCCUUUUCCUUCAUCGGCGUUUGCUGUUCUUCCUGCCAGUGCGUGUUGCUUUCACUUACACUUGCCACAGCCAGCCUCGUGAGUGCCUAGCCUAUUGGAUAUCACUGUCACCUACUCAGGACAGUCAUUACCUUUCUAUUAAUACUUUGUUUUUUAAUUUCACAUUAAUUUCCAUAUUGUAUAAACAACUGGAAAAAACUUGAGCCCCUGCCCCUGUAUAAUCAUGUGCACGUCUCUGUUCUAGCUCUAAGGUGAAUCUUCACUGCUCAUGUUCUCCUCAGAAGCAGUCACCUCACUCCCCUCAGGUUACUGUACACAUGCACCAACUGCCUGCUUCAGGUUUGGAUGGAGCUUCAUGGUUGUCUUUUGGAGAAAUGACCAGUCAAGUUGUGUUUGAAAUUUGAUUUUUUUCAGGGGCAAAAGGAGCCUCUGCAUUCUUGUCAAAUAUGUAAAUAGCAUGUUUUUGCAGGUGCUAAAAACCAGACUCUGAGUGUGUGUGUGUGCGUGUGUGUGUGUGUCUGUGUGUGUGUGUGUGUGUGUGUGUGUGUGUGUGUGUGUGUGCGUUCAAGUCACAUGACAUAUUUAACCGGAUGUAGCUGCAAGACGGAGCCUCGUUGACUCCGUUUCAACUUAUCUCAAAAGUGAGGACCUCAACCUAUAUACCAGUUUUUAAAUUGUGUUGAUAGGCCAAAUAAAACCAGAGUUAUGAUAAAUUAUGUCCGCGAUACUUGUUUUCUGCUUAUUUUGAUCACGUUCGGCGCUCGAUCGCGCUGUAUGAGACAGGAAAACAUAGCAUGCAGACAUUAGCGACAGGUCUUACAGGCGGAAAAGGCUUGCCAAAGGAAAAAAAAAACACACCACAACAUCUCUCCUAUUGGUGGAAAACUUCACCACAACAACCAAUCCAAAAUUAUAUGGUGACUGAUUGACAAGGGGCGGACGCUUACGUUCUUCCUGCAAUAUGAGAAGGGAGGGAGGGACUCUAAGCAGGGAUGCAGUCUGGGACACGUAGUUGCAAACCUAGCGACUUUGUUGUUAGAUUCAAUGACUUUUCAGACCCCCUAACGACUUUUUUAGAAAGAAAGGGACUUUUAUCGACUUCUUCUGGAGUUUAGAGACUCUGACAUGAAGCAGGCUUUCCUUACUGAGGAGUUAGCAACGCUGCUAAGGGUGCAGAGCCACACAUGCGCUCCGAGCUCUGCAUGGGAGACUGAAGCUGACAGAGCUGCAGCAGUUAGCAGGUUUCACCCUCAGAGACCACCAGGGGUUCAUGUUGAGGCAUUUUCAGUUUUUUUUUUUUUUUUGCCAUAGACACUGUCAGCACAAUCUGCAGUUACACUAACAAAAAUGCUGCAAAAAACAAAGAAUUAUGGAAAAAUUACACAUGGACUAACAUAGAGGAGGAUCUACACAAGUUUUUUACAUCAUGUUUUACAUCAUGCAUCAUUUACAUCAUGUUUUUUUGUAGUGGCAUAAAUAAAAAGUGACAUUUGUGAGACUAUACAGUGUUUUGUAAAUAAUUUUACAAAGAACACCUGGGCCAUUGCCUGCAUUUUGAUGUAAAUAGAGGUAAAUUACUAUGUUCUUUGUUAAAAAUUUGCAUAUGUUUUGAAGUUUACAAUUUUAAUUUGAAGUUUAAGUUUUAAAAACAGUUCAUCACACAUAUUUGUGGUUUUCACAGUAAAAACGUUACUUUUUUCCACUCGGAUUUUAUGUUUUGUGUGUGAAUUUGGGUCCAAUGUGUAAAUAUAGUAUGUCAAAAUGAUAAAAUAACUGUAAAUUGACACAGGUGAGGUUGUGAUGAAAAAAAUGAUACCAGGCAAGGCAAGGUAAAAAUUUUGUAAGAGGAAAUAUAAAGGUAAAAUCUAAAGUAGUCAAAAACGGCCAAUAGUGACUCACAGACUCCACAGACAAGUCCCUUUGGCGCCACUCAGUGGGCAAAACUACUUUGUCUACUGUAAUGUAUAUUUGGGUCAUCUUUGGCGCCCCCUAAAACGUAAACCGUGGGGUGCAGCGUCAUGAUUUUUACAACUUUGAAUGGCCAUGGAGUGUAGAUUGGCCUGAGCAAAUUUGGUGUCAGUGGGACGAAAGCCUUAGGAGGAGUUAGCGAAAUUCCAAUGUGUGCGAAUCGGCAAAAAAUGCAAAAUAGCCCUUUUACCGUACAUUAUACAGAUACGCGCUCUUUGACUUUUUCGUAGAUCUAAUUGAGAUACACAUGAUUGUCAAUUUUUGUGUCAUUUUGCCAAAGCGUACAGGCGUGACAGUCAACAAUGUGUAUUUUCACCUUAGGGGACAAGAAAAAAUGGACUUUUUUCUCCUGCCAUGGGGGGCGCUCUUUUAGGGAGUAAAAAUUCCUUCACAAAUGUGUUGAUGGCUGGACAUUGCAUCAUCCUAGAAAACUUGGAGGCCAGUGAGGACAAAAAUAAAAAGUUAUAAGACUUUUAAAAAUGUGGAUUUUUGGGUUAUCUUUGGCGCCCCCUAGAAUGUAAACCGUGGGGUGCAGCGUCAUGAUUUGAAUAACUUUUAAUGGCCAUGGGGUGUAGAUUGGCCUGAGCAAAUGUGGUGCCGGUGGAACGAAAGCCUUCGGAGGAGUUAGCGAAAUUCCAAUGUGUGCGAAUCGGCAAAAAAUGCGGAAUAACCCUUUAACCGUACAUUUGACAGAUACGCGCGCAUGGACUUUUUUGUAGAUCUUAUUGAGAUACAUGUGUGUGUCAAUUUUUGUGUCAUUUUGACAAAGCGUACAGGCGUGACACUCAACAAUGUGUAUUUUCACCUUAGGGGACAAGAAAAAAUUGACUUUUUUCUCCUGCCAACAUGAGAAGGGAGGGAGGGACUCUCAGCAGGGAUGCAGUCUGGGACACGUAGUUGCAAACCUAGCGACUUUGUUGUUAGAUUCAAUGACUUUUCAGACCCCCUAACGACUUUUUUUUAGAAAGAAAGGGACUUUUAUCGACUUCUUCUGGAGUUUAGAGACUCUGACAUGAAGCAGGCUUUCCUUACUGAGGAGUUAGCAACGCUGCUAAGGGUGCAGAGCCACACAUGCGCUCAGAGCUCUGCAUGGGAGACUGAAGCUGACAGAGCUGCAGCAGUUAGCAGGUUUCACCCUCAGAGACCACCAGGGGUUCAUGUUGAGGCAUUUUAAUUUUUUUUUUUUUUUGUGCCAUAGACACUGUCACCACAAUCUGCAGUUACACUAACAAAAAUGCUGCAAAAAACAAAGAAUUAUGGAAAAAUUACACAUGGACUGACAUAGAGGAGGAUCUACACAAGUUUUUUACAUCAUGUUUUACAUCAUGCAUCAUUUACAUCAUGUUUUUUUGUAGUGGCAUAAAUAAAAAGUGACAUUUGUGAGACUAUACAGUGUUUUGUAAAUAAUUUUACAAAGAACGCCUGGGCCAUUGCCUGCAUUUUGAUGUAAAUAGAGGUAAAUUACUAUGUUCUUUGUUAAAAAUUUGCAUAUGUUUUGAAGUUUACAAUUUUUAUUUGAAGUUUAAGUUUUAAAAACAGUUCAUCACACAUAUUUGUGGUUUAAUUUCACAUUAAUUUCCAUAUUGUAUAAAUGACUGGAAAAAACUUGAGCCCCUGCCCCUGUAUAAUCAUGUGCACGUCCCUGUUCUAGCUCCAAGGUGAAUCUUCACUGCUCAUGUUCUCCUCAGAAAUAGUCACUUCACUCCCCUCAGGUUACUGUACACAUGCACCAACUAUCUGCUUCAGGUUUGAAAUGGAGCUUCAUGGUUGUCUUUUGGAGAAAUGAACAGUCAAGUUGUGUUUGAAAUUUGAUUUUUUUCAGGGGCAAAAGGAAGCCUCUGCAUUCUUGUCAAAUAUGUAAACAGCAUGUUUUUGCAGGUGCUAAAAAACAGACUCUGAGUGUGUGUGUGUGUUGUGUGUGUGUGUGUGUGUGUGUGUGUGUGUAUGUUGGCGUGUGUGUAUAUGUGUGUGUAUCCUGCAGUACUCUGUACUCCUGCAGUGGCCAAAAAGACUUUUAAGAAUGUGGAUUUUUGGGUCAUCUUUGGCGCCCCCUAGAACUGCAGUACUCUGUACUCCUGCAGUGGCCAAAAUGACUUUUAAGAAUGUGGAUUUUUGGGUCAUCUUUGGCGCCCCCUAGAACGUAAACCGUGGGGUGCAGCGUCAUGAUUUUUACAACUUUGAAUGGGCAUGGGGUGUAGAUUGCCCUGAGCAAAUUUGGUAUCGGUGGGACGAAAGCCUUAGGAGGAGAUAGCCACAUUCCAAUGUGUGCGAAUCGGCAAAAAAUGCAAAAUAGCCCUUUAACCGUACAUUAUACAGAUACGCACUCUUUGACUUUUUCGUAGAUCUAAUUGAGAUACACAUGAUUGUCAAUUUUUGUGUCAAUAUGACAAAGCGUUCAGGCGUGACACUCAACAAUGUGUAUUUUCAUGUAAGGGGACAAGAAAAAAUUGACUUUUUUCUCCUACCAUGGGGGGCGCUCUUUUGGGGAGUAAAAAUUCCUUCACAAAUGUGUUGAUGGCUGGACAUUGCAUCAUCCUAGAAAACUUGGAGGCCAGUGAGGACAAAAAUAAAAAGUUAUAAAACAUUUAAGAAUGUGGAUUUUUGGGUUAUUUUUGGCGCCCCCUAGAACCUAAACCAUGGGGUGCAGCAUCAUGAUUUGAAUAACUUUUAAUGGCCAUGGGGUGUAGAUUGGCCUGAGCAAAUGUGGUGCCGGUGGAACGAAAGCCUUAGGAGGAGUUAGCGAAAUUCCAAUGUGUGCGUAUCGGCAAAAAAUGCGGAAUAACCCUUUAACUGUACAUUUGACAGAUACGCGCGCAUGGACUUUUUUGUAGAUCUUAUUGAGUUACAUGUGUGUGUCAAUUUUUGUGUCAUUUUGACAAAGCGUAUAGGCGUGACACUCAACAAUGUGUAUUUUCACCUGAGGGGACAAGAAAAAAUGGACUUUUUUCUCCUGCCAUGGGGGGGCGCUCUUUUGGGGAGUAAAAAUUCCUUCACAAAUGUGUUGAUGGCUGGACAUUGCAUCAUCCUAGAAAACUUGGAGGCCAGUGAGGACAAAAAUAAAAAGUUAUAAGACUUUUAAAUAUGUGGAUUUUAGUGUUAUCUUUGGCGCCCCCUAGAACCUAAACCUUGGGGUGCAGCGUCAUGAUUUUGAUAACUUUUAAUGGCCACGGGGUGUAGAUUGGCCUGAGCAAAUGUGGUGCCGGUGGAACGAAAGCCUUCGGAGGAGUUAGCGAAAUUCCAAUGUGUGCAGAUCGGCAAAAAAUGCGAAAUAACCCUUUAACCGUAAUUUUGACAGAUACGGCCGCACUGACUUUUUUGUAGAUCUUAUUGAGAUACAUGUGUGUGUCAAUUUUUGUGUCAUUUUGACAAAGCGUACAGUCGUGACAGUGAAUAGUGUGAAUUUUCACCUUAGGGGGCGCUAUGGAGCCAUUUUGCAUUUUAUUGUUUUGGCGACUUCAGAAUAUCAAAUUUUUCACCAGGCCCGGUCGUCCUGCCAAAUUUCAUGAGUUUUCGCCAGUGGGAAGUGGGCCAUUUUCCAGUUCAAAGGGGAGGAAAAAGAAGAAACUAGGGCCCCGUUGGGGCACUGGCGGGCCCGAGCCGUGUCGCGCUGCCCCCCCCAACGCGCUGCCUCCCCGUCCCAUUCGCGUCCUCUGGCCAUCGUCCUCUCUGGUAACGCCCAUCACUGCAAAGACCCUUUCCUUCAUCGGCGUUUGCUGUUCUUCCUGCCAGUGCGUGUUGCUUUCACUUACACUUGCCACAGCCAGCCUCGUGAGUGCCUAGCCUAUUGGAUAUCACUGUCAUCUACACAGGACAGUCAUAACCUUUCUAUUAAUACUUUGUUUUUUAAUUUCACAUUAAUUUCCAUAUUGUAUAAAUGACUGGAAAAAACUUGAGCCCCUGCCCCUGUAUAAUCAUGUGCACGUCCCUGUUCUAGCUCCAUGGUGAAUCUUCACUGCUCAUGUUCUCCUCAGAAAUAGUCACCUCACUCCCCUCAGGUUACUGUACACAUGCACCAACUAUCUGCUUCAGGUUUGGAUGGAGCUUCAUGGUUGUCUUUUGGAGAAAUGAACAGUCAAGUUGUGUUUGAAAUUUGAUUUUUUUCAGGGGCAAAAGGAAGCCUCUGCAUUCUUGUCAAAUAUGUAAACAGCAUGUUUUUGCAGGUGCUAAAAAACAGACUCUGAGUGUGUGUGUGUGUGUGUGUGUGUGUGUGUGUGUGUGUGUGUGUGUGUGUGUGUGUGUGUGUGUUGGCGUGUGUGUAUAUGUGUGUGUAUCCUGCAGUACUCUGUACUCCUGCAGUGGCCAAAAAGACUUUUAAGAAUGUGGAUUUUUGGGUCAUCUUUGGCGCCCCCUAGAACUGCAGUACUCUGUACUCCUGCAGUGGCCAAAAUGACUUUUAAGAAUGUGGAUUUUUGGGUCAUCUUUGGCGCCCCCUAGAACGUAAACCGUGGGGUGCAGCGUCAUGAUUUUUACAACUUUGAAUGGGCAUGGGGUGUAGAUUGCCCUGAGCAAAUUUGGUAUCAGUGGGACGAAAGCCUUAGGAGAAGAUAGCCACAUUCCAAUGUGUGCGAAUCGGCAAAAAAUGCGAAAUAGCCCUUUAACCGUACAUUAUACAGAUACGCGCUCUUUGACUUUUUCGUAGAUCUAAUUGAGAUACACAUGAUUGUCAAUUUUUGUGUCAAUAUGACAAAGCGUUCAGGCGUGACACUCAACAAUGUGUAUUUUCAUGUAAGGGGACAAGAAAAAAUUGACUUUUUUCUCCUGCCAUGGGGGGGCGCUCUUUUGGGGAGUAAAAAUUCCUUCACAAAUGUGUUGAUGGCUGGACAUUGCAUCAUCCUAGAAAACUUGGAGGGCAGUGAGGACAAAAAUAAAAAGUUAUAAGACUUUUAAGAAUGUGGAUUUUUGGGUUAUCUUUGGCGCCCCCUAGAACCUAAACCGUGGGGUGCAGCGUCAUGAUUUGUACAACUUUUAAUGGCCAUGGGGUGUAGACUGGCCUGAGCAAAUGUGGUGCCGGUGGAACGAAAGCCUUCGGAGGAGUUAGCGAAAUUCCAAUGUGUGCGGAUCGGCAAAAAAUGCG